UUCAAAGUAGUCAAGAAGUAACCAGCAAAGAAGUUGGAGGACACAUAGGUGUAAGGAAUCCCCUCAGCCUCCACAGCUCUGCGAAUCUUGGCCUUGGUCUCAAACGCCAAUUUGGCAGGCUCAACAGCGUGAACUCGAUCAACGUCGUUUCCAAACUCUGACGGGAAAAAUCUCUGCAACCCAAUUCAUACAUUUGCAAUCCCAAUUUACAGAAUUAAACUUUACAAAAAACAGAGUGUUGAUACACAAAACCGGAGGGGUCUUGGAACAAUGUAAAUUCGACCGUGAAUCUGCAAGAAAGUAAAUAACACAAGAUGUAUCGUUGUUCACCCCAAUGUUUGGGCUGCAUCCACACUGAUAUUGUAUUUCUCUGUUUGUGGGAGGAUGAGAGGAUGAGAGGAUGAGAGCUUCUGAGGGUGAGAGAGCUCCUCCUUGAUUGUGAGGGUGAGGAGUCCCUUUUAUAGAAUAAGGACUCCUCACUUAUUACAUAUUUGCCCCUUCCUUUAUUACAUAAUUACAUUUGAGUCCCCCGAGUAUUUAUACGAGAUCUAAAUACGGAGGCCCUGUGUAUGGUAUAAACAGUAGUCCUCCAAGUCUUCAGUCAAUAAAGUCUUUUGGCUGGAGACUUGAAAUUCAGUCCAUGUGUGGGCCGAAGUAACUAGAUGUCGUCUAGAACUGAAUACUCGAUAUGAGGCGGUGCUUAAUGUGAAAUGAUGCUCAACUAGAUGUAGCACAUGUUGCGAGGCUGCUCGGCUUGUGGCUUAUGUUGCCUUGCUUGGCUCGGCUUGCGGCGAGGCGGUUGCUCAGUAGGCGGCGAUGUUCUCUAAUGAUGGUGAGGGAGUCCCUUUUAUAGAAUAAGGGCUCGCUCCUCAAUACAUAAAUAAUGGGCUAAGUCCCUCAAGUAUUUUUCAUGAGGCCCAGUUGAGGCCCAAUAUAUGGUACAUAAUGUAAAUAUGUAAUAAGUGAGGAGCCCUUAUUCUGUAAAAGAGACUCAUCACCCUCACAAUCAGGGAGAAGCUCUCUCACCCUCAGAAGCUCUCACCCUCUCAUCCUCCCACAAACAGAGAAAUACAUUAUUAGUGUGGACGUAGCCCAAACAUUGGGGUGAACCACGAUACAUCUUGUGUUAUUUACUUUCUUGCAGAUUCACGGUCGGAUUUACGUUGUUCCAAGACCCUUCCGAUUUUGUGCAUCAACACAGAGUAACCCAAAAAAAUUCAAAACUUUCACCUGAACAUUGCCUGCUUCUUUGAUGGCAGCGAUAAUCUUUCCCUGAUCAGCCAACUGAGCAUGCCCCACAGUCGAGAUCACCACGUGGACUUGCUUGAUAGCCUUCACCAAGCUCUUGUGAUCGUACAGAUCACCCUGCAAAUUAUAUAUAUAUAUAUAAUAUAAAAAAAUAAAACACACACACACACACACAAAUCAAGCAAAACUCAAUUGGCUAAUCGGAUUAAAAAGCUAGAAAAUGCUGGGGAUUUUACAAACCAGGACGAAAUUUACGCCCAAAGCCUUGAAGUUCUCAAUGACUUUGGACUUUGCCGGGUUGGAGAGGGUAGCUUCUCGAACCAGAAUGUAGGUGGGGUGCCCGACCUUGGCGCUGGCCUCGAAGAUGAAUUUUCCAAUGUAGCCGAUGCCGCCGAUGAAGAGGAUUUUGGACUUGGAAGCCAUCGGGAAUGGGAAUCGAGGUAAUCAGAAUGGGAUGAGUUGGAGAGAGAGAGUGCGAGUGAGAGUGUUGAGGGAGAGGAGGAAUAAUUGGGUGGCUGAGAAGUCCAUUGACCAUGAUCAAAUUGGCUUUUUUUUUGUCAAGUCAGAUAAAUUUUUCAUUGUGACGGGAACACAGAUAGUACAUCACGUAUUUUUAUGUAAGUGGUGGGAAAUAUAUUUUUUAAGUUAUUAACUUUUUAACACACAUAUCUCACCAUUUGUAUAAUGACACGUGAUGUACCAUCUCGCCUGCCGGUCACAUUGAAAAAUCUCUCCAAAUGUUCAAAUUGGCUUUGGUGGAAUUGGAUCCUCUCCUGAGCUUGGGCUCAAGAGCCUCCUAACCAAUACACAAGGGCCAUUAGAUUUUGAUCAAACGGCUACAAUUAUUAUAAUUUUUAGAGGACUUCCUGUUUGGAGCCGUUGGAUUUUGAUCCAACGGCCCUUGUGUGUUGAUCAGGAGGCUCCUGAGCCCAAGCUCAGGAGAGGAUCCAAUUCUAGCUUUGGUUUAUAGUGUCAGUAUAAUGCGUGAAAUGAUGAAAAUGCCCUUGGAUUGUGAAUAGCCUUUCUAGUGAGGACGAUUUAUAGCAUGACGUUGGUGUUUGCAUCUGCAUGAUGCUGGGUUAUUAGGUGGAUGGGUGUCCGUCCGGUUUCCGAGAUGUUUUUUUUAUUUUUUAUUUUUUGUUAGACGAUGAAUUUUGUUAAUUUAGUUAAUAAUGGAGUUUGAAUCAACGCCGUCAUGCAAGAAUUCAACAUUUUUCCACUACUAUAGUAAAAGACCAUUUGCGUUCCGAGAAAUAUUUCGAGAUUUAAUUAUAUUAUUUUACAUGAGUGUUUACAUUUAUAUUUGAUUGUUAGAAUACUUUGGUUCAUAUGAACCAACAAAUGUACCACAUUACAUUGCAUGGCCGUUUGUGGGUUUUCGAUACUGCACAAUUAUAUAUGGGAAACAAAAUGGCUGUUAAAAGAUCCCUAAAAAAUUUCUACUCCUUUUCAAACAGUUUUUCUAGAGCUAAACAGAAACCAACAAUGAAGGCACAUUCUAAGAAAGUAUUGAUGAAAACACAUAAUACACAUACCUCCUUAAAUCUUUCCUCCUUUUGCUCAGCCUGUAUUUGGAAUAGAUUAUGACUUAGGCAUAAACUCAUAAAUCAGUGAAGAAUGAAACCCAAAAUUAAAUUGCAGUUUCUUAUAUCCUUUUUCUAAGAAUAGACAAACAAAAUUGUUUCUUAAAUGAACAAUAUGUAUAUAAGCAGGAUUGUGCUUAAUUUUCUCUAAUUAAAGAAAUGGUUUGCACAAUUUUAGAACCUGAUAACAAAACCAUAACAAAAAAAAAUUCCAGAGCCUGAAAUGCCUUUUGAAAGCUCUGUCCUACUUCGAAAAUCUACAAAUGGAAAAAUUGUGAGCCCAAAUUAAAGCUUCUUUUCUCACUCAUAAGAAAAAUAGAGACUCUAUAUGGAAAAUAAUUGAAAUUAUGCAUAAUCAAAAGUGGAUCAAAACUCUAAAUAGAUUCUCUUAACACGUAGGAGAUCGUUGUUAGAAUUCGGAAACAAUUGAAACUUCAUUUUAAACGCAAACUUAAUCAAUUGAUUUAUAUUUAAAUGGAACAAAAUAUCAGUCAGUUUUACCUAUCUUUUGUUUAGUGUCGCUCAAAUUCUCUCCUUGAUUAAAAGCUCCAAUUUUUACUUUCCUUCCAUUCCCCUUCUGCAUAACAGUUUAGUAGCUCUUGUUUACCUACAACAAAUUGAAAACCAUUUUGGGAAAAUACUAAGCCUUUGGUUAUUAGAUUCUUUAUAGGCAAAGAAAGAAAAUUACACACAACAAAACUAUUAAAACUUUAAAAUCCAACUCCAAAAUUAGGUUCUCUAACUGGCUAAUGAUCAUAUUGGAUAUAAAUUAUCAUCCCUAAUAGUACAAUGCCUAAAUUUUUUUUUUUUUGGACAUUCUAGUGAACUUUGCCAAUAGAAGUUCAAAUGAGAAACAAAAAAGUGAGUGGCUAACCCAGAAAAGGUUAAAUGAACUUUGCUAAUAAAAGUUUUGAAGCAAUUCAUUUUCAGGAACAAAAAUUUGAAAGAGAACACAUGAAGGGGAAACCAACUUUAAAUUUCAUACUAUUUGGCCAACUCCUUACCCAUUUAAAAUGCACCUAAGAAACAAAAGUCAGGACUACAUAACACGACAUAAACUUUUUCAAGUAUAUAUGAUCUUAAUAUGAGUCAUACAACAUACUAUUAGUACCACCCUGUGUAACAACCCGUCCCUAAUUUUAUGGUUUUAUUAAUUUUAAAAGUGUAAAAUUACGAAAAUUCCUUUUGAGGAGAGAUUGUUGACUUUUGUUGACCGUCUUUUCAGGACAUGUGUGAGCUGUUAUUUUACCAUAUUCUUGAAAUACUCGACAGUAUGAAUGCAUAGGCGUAAAUAGAAUUGAAUUUCGAGUUACGAUGAAGAUUUUAUGAAACUACGAAGUAGAAGGGCAUUUUAGUAAAUUCAUUAUUUCAGAUAUUGACCCUUACUAUUUUAUUAUUUCCUUGUCCCCUUGUCCUCUCCUUCCCACUCUCCUGGACCCCCUCUCAUUUGUCGCCACCUCAUCACACUCUUUCUCUAAUUCUCCCUGUCUCUCCCUCAGCUCUCUCGCUUAUCUCUCUCUCUCUGCAAGUGCAGAGAUAUCCAACCACCGACACACUCCCCUCCGACGAGUUCUAUCGACACCAAUACACACCCAUCAAUUUUCUGGACGAGCCACUACUUGGAGGAUAUCACUAAACUCAGAAACAUGUAUGUAAUUGAACCACCGUUAACGCCAUUUUCUUCGGCGAUUUAUCGUCAAUUUCCGAUAAGGUGAAUCUCGGAACACCUUUGAUUUUUUUUUCCCAUCUCACUAUCCUAAGAAUCAUUCUUAGGUUAGAUCUGUGUGUUGGUGAUGAUUUGGAUGUAGAAAACACCCCUGGAAAUUAACCAAGUUUUCCGGCGAGAGAUCGGCGGCUUUGAGCCAUUUUCCGGCCAACUCCGACCACAACCAAGGAAACCAAAGGUAUAUUUCGAUUCCUUGUUCCUUGAACUUGAAAUUGGUAUAUUAGAUUGCUAGUUUUAGUUAAGUUUCAAAGCUAGGUGGAGUUGGAAAAGUUUCUCUGUCAAGAUUCCCAAAUUCCUACCCAAGCCCAAACUCGGAUUCAAGCCUGGAUUCGAACCAAUCGACCCAAACCCAUUUAGGAAUUUGGAGGGAAUAUUCCGUUAACUUUCUAGUUAACUUUAACAAAAUAUUCCGUCUGAGGAUGAAAUUUUCCGUUAAAGUUAACUAUUGACUUUUUCAAAAUUUUCUCGGAAAUCCUCCUAGGCCAAUUUCAACACCCCAAGCUCGUUUUUGACAUCCAUUUAGUGUAAUUCCAAAGUUUUAAUGUAGUUGACCGCCGUGGCUGCUUGGUUGACCUUUUAGGAUUGACCGUUGACAUUUUCGUGGAUUUUUUGCAAAAUUUGAUGGGGACCCUCCUUAGCAUAUUUCGACGCCCUGAUUCCAAAUCCACACUCUGUUUUUCCAAAUUUAAUAUUCUUAGUGGAGUUUUACUAAUGGGUCCCAAUAUUAUGCUUAGAUGCGAUUACUAUCGGAGACUCCGGCUAUCCUAAUUCGAAUGGCUGCUAUCCCGCAAGUAUCUGUGAAUGGGUCUUUACUUUUAAGUAUUAUAUAUUUAUUUAGUUUCCAUUUAUACAUUUGAAAAAGAAUUCCUAUGUAUGCCUAGAUUAGACUAAUGUUUAUAAGAAUUAGCGAAAUGACGGAAUUUACGAAAUUAUUCCAAAUCCUGUGAGAUGCACAGAUAUGCAUACUAUUAUGGGAUGCUUUAAUUAUAUUUGCAACCAUGAAUAGUGUUAUGGUUGAUUAGAAUUAUCGAUUUACCAUUAUAUGAUCAUAAUUGUAUUAUCUGCUCAUCGUGAGCUACACUGGUAUUGUACUCGCCCGGACCAGGGCCAAAUUUUCACGUAUAUGUUCACAUUGCACUGUAUGAUCACUUCAGAUCCAUUGUAGGUGUCAGUCCUGUCUUAGAUUGCUAUAGGCAAUUAGGACUCGUAUGUGAUGCGCAUAGCGUCAGUCUUCACGUGAUUGUAGUACUGAGCAUAAAUUGUCAUUACACCCAGUCUCGUUCAUGUCUGGAUAUCUCUACAUGGACUUGUGUGUCAGCAUGUGUCGAUGAGCACUCGAUAUGACAUGUUGUUUAUGCGAGAUUAUGUGAUAUCGAUCGUUAUAUGUUAUUUACACAUUUUGUGACAUAUUGAAUUCUUGAGAUAUUGCAGGCUACGGUAAGUAUUCUUAUACAAUAUGUAGUAUGUAUAUUUUGGAAACUAUACUUGUUUUAUGGCGAGGGGUUAUUACGUUUUCAAAAAGGUUUUACAAAGUUUUAUAUUUAGGCCCACUCACUUUUUUUUUCGCCCCUCUAGGUUUUAGUGCUGAGCUUUCGUGUCGACGAGGAUUCUUUGCAAAUCUUGGUAUAGGUGGUUACCUUUGAUAGUAUGAUUCUCACCCUACUUUACUGUAAUUUACUUCUGCUCUGACAUCACGUGUGAAAUGGGUUCAUUCCCACUCACAAGUGCACUCUUCCAUUUAGGCACUUUUAGGUUUAAAUUUACUCACAUGUUCCACACCUUUACAGUUUAUGGCUUCGUCACCCUCUAGGUGUCAGCCAGCACCCCUCGAUUCGGAGUCUAAGCGAACAUUCCAGGUCGGGGUGUGCCAAUUUGGUAUCAGAGCAUCAGUUUGGGCAAUAUUGCGUUCAUCACAUGCGUGAUGCAAGCAUUCUCAGUUCUUGAGCCUAAUUUUUGAAUCUUGCCACCUCGUCGAAUACGAAAAAUGUAUUGGCUUUUUCUAAGUUUUGGGCAUCUCAAACUACUUAUCGAUCUUCUAGAAGAACAUUUUUGGCGACCGCCUCUAGACUUAAACAAACAACCUCGCUGCCAAGGAAAAUCCCGAUUUGGUAUGAGUUAAACGCCCUGAAGCAGGGCUAAUAUAUCAAUAGUUGUGCACUACCGGAGAAUUUCUCAUCAAUUCCACUACUAUCCAAUCAUCUUUACCAACCCUUUCGAGAUAGGAAACUAGAAAUAAUCUUGACUCCUUGACAGUACCCGUUAGAAUACCACCUACUAGAAUUCCUACAAAGUUUUACUUUUGUCAAAAUUCAAAAAAUAUUUCGAGUGGCAAUAUGGUGCUAUAGUGGUACAUUCGAUCGAAGAACAUCUGGGGGACAAUCACUUUUGGUCCCCGAUAACACUAAUCUUCUCAAACACACUAGUUAUCAUUCCUCAUCUUCAAGAGGAAAAUCGAUUUCCGUUUAAGUCCAUUCUAAGGUAAGUUAUUAGCAUAUUUCUUUUUUGGGCCUUAGGACAUUCCAAUCGACACUAGUUCCCAGAUUUUCUUUCGAUGUUGUACUCAUCAUUUCGAUAAGUAUAUGCUUGUGAGUAUGAGAUGUUAUACCUUCAGGUUGCAAAAAUCCCAAAAGCAGUAAUCAAUUUCUCCUAGAACUAAUGAAACCAUCUCAUAGAACCAAUUGCUUACUAGUUAUCGGACACCAUCCACCCGAACAGGAUCUAACCUGUAAUCAGCAUACGGUGGCGCUACUAAUUGACGAUACUAUUCGAUAUCCAUAAAUUAUCAACCAGUAUUCCGGUGGUAUGAUUUCUGAUACCGGCCACAUGCUAAUAUCUAGGAGUGAUUGUGCUAGAAUGCCGGUUCACAGUUUCAAGAUAACGAACAAUACCAAAAUACCUUAUAUGCGUUAAUUAGCAGCACAACUGAUAGACUGAUUUAUGGUGACAACCUAAGCCAAAGAAAUUAAAAUCGUGGAAACUUAAGGGCAAGCCUUGUAGGAGGAUAGUAAACUCGUUGUUGUUUUAACCACAUUACCCAUUUAGGUAAUCCGAACAUUAUCGACCAGUCAUCCCUGAGGUCACUUUCACAAACAAACAUUAGAAUUGGAGCACGAGUUAAGUUCCCGUUGUAAAAGAAAAAUGAGUAUUGAGAAAGUUACGAAAACCUGGUAGCACAUGUCAUAGAGAAAGGAAAUAGUACUGUAUGUUUCGAGGAUGCAUAUCUUUGGCAUCAUUUCUCAAAAUUUUACAUAGGAUACCACUGAAGCAGGAAGUAGAAUGCACCAUCAAUCCACCUUGUUAACACUACACUUAUUCUCCCUACCUCAUACCGAACAACUCAUUUGACAUUGAGAAAACUUGGUUACAAAAGCUUACCGAUUAGGAAUUUAACCAAACACUUUAUCUAGGGAACCUCAAACCUAUUCGUGAAGGUGAAAGACUAAACCUUAGGAUUGUACCUAAAUUUUAGCAACUUAAUUGGAUGACGAUUAAAACCGUUAACCCAUACUUUGAAUUGAUGGUCUACCCGACAAACUUUUGGAACUCGAGUUUUCUUUCAUAGCUUGUCGAAUUCAUAGUGGUCUUACCGAUGACUUUCUCACUUACCCUAGCUUAUCGAAUUCAUAGUGGUCUUACCGAUGACUUUCUCACUUACCCUAGCAACAAGAGAAAAUUUUCUAAACACCGACAAUCCGCUUUAUACCAAAUUCCUCAAAUAUUACCUUUGUUUAGAUUGGUACUUUUCUUAGGAGAUGUGAUCUCAGCAGAUGACAUUCUUGUCAAUUUCCAAAAAGGUUGCAAAUGUAGAAAAAUUCGUAUUCCACAAAUUGUUGUGAAAUAUGCAAUGUCCUUGGCCUUGUUGAUUUUAUUGGCAAUUUGUUAGUGACUUUUCAGCAGUGGUAUUUUUCCUUUCAUGUUGGCCGAGGAAAAUCAGUUUUGCUGAGACGUGGAAUAUUAUUUAAGUUGUGACAACUGAGGUGUCGUCUAUUUCCUACCCUUGUUCAUACACCUUUUGAUAACAUCGAGAAUUUUGAAAUCCACAAUUACGUUUCUUUGAAUAAUUUGGUUGUAUGUAGUAUGACGAUGUAUUGCUUAUGUUUCCCACCGGUUGAAACCAUAUAAAGUGAACCAACUUACUCUUGACCUAGUGUCAACAAUUACCAUCUUUACUUGAAACCGAAUGACACUUCUCUAUGGCGAAGCAUGUCCAAAAUCUUUACCAAUGUUAGACUUCUCAAAUACAUUUUCAUUUGUAAUGAGCUAAAUUUCUGACAGCAGCGAUGGAAGAACUAAAUCAAUGUCUACGAUUGCACUAUCGUGUAUUACCCCGGUUGUGCAAACGUAAUUAUUGUUCACCGUAGUAAAAGAUGAAUCUACCUUUGAACACCUUCAGCCUGUCUUAUCCUAAUUCAGUUGGAAUUCAUGAGUAUUGAUAUGACGUUACUUACGAAUCCUUAAGAAAUUGUUCGAGUGGUUAUAAUCACUUACUGUAUUUGAAUAGAGAUGGGAAAUAUCACCAUAAGCUCCCAGUACGAGGUAUCUUGGACAUGUGGAGAUUAUGAUGAUGUUUCAAUGAUUAUAGAUCGACUUGACAAAUCAACUCACUUUCCGCUGGUCCAAAUGGACUGUAUUGUAGAUCUCUUGGAAAAAUUGCUCAUUCUUGAAUUUAUCGGGUUUUCUGGCAUUUCGAUCAGCAUCUACUCUGACCAUGAUUCCAUAUUCACUUUCUGUGCUAGAAAGCAUUCUAGUUAACCUUAGGAACGUGCCUACCCUAUUGCGCUUCGUAUUAUUCUUGAAACAGACAAACCGUCUAAGUGAAAUGCUCGGACGUUGAAAUUUAGUUGCGAUCAUUAAUUCUUCAAUCACCCAAAAAAUAAUCUAUUGAUCGAACCUUUACCGUUCCUGAUAUUCCAAAAGCUACAGCUGUAAUGAGAUAUAUGUAUUUAAUGCAGUUACGUUAUACUCUAGAUUUGAUGGACUUGUUCUGACUCUCAAAUUCUUGACUGUUCUUUUAGCUUCUCGACAUAGUUUUUCGCAAAAUCCAAGAGAAAUUCAAUAUGAAUAUGCUCACUAUGGCGUUGCGAACUGCAUUGUUAGGCUACAUGGUGUAUGUGUCACUACUGUAUCUCACUGUGAUACGUGCUUCACUUCCAAGCCUUGAGAAGUCUUCUUGAAGGCUAUGAGUACAAAGUUAUUGUCGGAUACCACACUUCACCCUUAGACUAAUAGCCAAUCUGAACGAACUAUCCAAACCUUCAUGGCAUGUUGCGUUUAUCCGUUCUAUAGUUUUAGGAUGAUUGUAGUAAACACUUAUAUUUGUUAGAGUAGCGUGUAACGAUGCUUAUUAUUCCAGUUUGGGUGUGAUAUCGUUUAAAGCGUUGUAUAGAGAUUUUAUGCACAAUACAUAAUUGACGGAAGAGUAUUGCAAACAGGUAUUUGAAGAAUUGAAUUUACAACGUAGCAAAUUUGUGUGCUAUUGACGUUAUCACCCGAUGGGGUAGUACGUGUACGCAAUUGAGGCAUUAACCGGACGAUUUAUGUGUAUUUUCCAGUGAGGGGCAUGAUUAUAAUAUUGCACCCUCGGGAAUUAUUUGCUUGCUUAUCGUGACAAAAGUGAGUUGUCAGUAUUGCGGGUUGCAAAUUGUAAUAUCGAUAACUUAUUCGUUGGAUUUGUUAAGCAAGCGGAUAAGUAGGCCCGUCUACGUUAGUAUUUUGAUUUAUUUAUUUAUCUAUUGUUGGGCUUGACCCAAAAGAUACUACACUUAUUCUCAGAGUAUGUGAUGCUACGAAUGCAUAGGUGAAAAUUUUUCAAUUUUUAAUUUUAAUUUUGAUACAAUUAUUUUAACUUUACCUUAUUACAUAUGUAUUUUGACGAUAUGUUACUAUAUAUCUAUUUUUAACUUUAUGUUUUAAUAAAGGAUUUCAUAUUUAAGUAUUUUACUAAAGGAGAACGAAAGUAUGAGUUUGGAGUCACAAAAGAGGAAUCAUUGCAAUCCUAUCGCGACGGAAUGACAUUCUCUUUUAUGCAAUUGCCCUAACUUGAUUUCUUCCUUAUAUAUACAUAUAUUUUUCUCCCUAUCUUCUUUGAGUAUUUUAUGUAUAACAAGUGAUUUCAAAUUUCGGGGAUGAAUUUUUUUUUAAGGUGGGUAGAUUGUAACAACCCGUCCCUAAUUUUACGGCUUUAUUAAUCUUAAAAGUAUAAAAUUACGAAAAUACGCUUUGACGAGAGAUUGUUGACUUUCGUUGACCGUCUUUUCGUGACGUGUGUGAGCUGUUAUUUUACCAUAUUCUCGAAAUACUCGACGGUACGAACGCGUAGGCUCGAGCGGAAUCGAAUUUGGAGUUACGAUGAAGAUUUUAUGACCUCCUCUCAGGUCCUCCUUGUCUCCAUGUCCUCUCCUUCCCACUCUCCCGAACCCUCUCUCAUUUGUCGCCACCUCAUUACACUCUCUCUUUCUCUAACUUUCCCCGUCUCUCCCUCAGCUCUCUCGCUUGCCUCUCUCUACAAGUAUAGAGAUAUCCAACCACCGACACACUCCCACUUCGACGAGCUUCGUCGACACCAACACACACCUACCAAUUUUCUGGACGAGCCACUACUUAGAGGAUAUCACUAAACUAAAAAACGUGUGUGGAAUUGAACCACCAUCGAUGCCAUUUUCUCCAGCGAUUUAUCGUCAAUUUCCGGUAAGGUGAAUCUUGGAAAACCCUUGAUUUUUUUCCCAUCUCGCUAUCCUAAGUCUGAUUCUUAGGUUAUAUCUGUGUGUUGGUGAUGAUUUGGACGCAGAAAACACCCCUGGAAAUUAACCCAGUUUUCUGGUGAGAGAUCCAGCGACUUUGAGCCAUUUUUCGGCCAACUCUAGCCACGACCGAGGAAACCAAAAGUAUAUUUCGAUUCCUUUUUCCUUGAGCUUCAAAUUGGUAUAUUAGAUUGCUAGUUUUAGUUGAGUUUCAAAGCUAGGUGGAGCUGGAAAAGUUUCCCGACCAAGAUUCCCAAAUUCUGACGGAUGUAGCGGCAACCGGCAUGAGAAGAAGAAUAAGAGAAAAAAAAAAAAAAAAGGCCCAAGCCCUAACCCGAAUUCAAGCAUGGAUCCAAAUCAGAUUCAAGCCAAGAUAUGAGUUGGAUCCAAUCUCGAAUCCGAACCAACCGACCCAGACCCAUUUAGAAAUUUGAAGGGAAUAUUCUAGGAAUAUUCUGUUAACAAUAUUUCAUCUGAGGAUGAAAUAUUCCGUUAAAGUUAACUGUUGACUUUGGUUGACUUUUUCAAAAUUUUCUUAGAAACCCUCCUUCAAAAUUUUGUUAGAAACCCUCCUAGGCCAAUUUCGACACCCCGAGUCCGUUUUUUACAUCCAUUUAGUGUAAUUCCAAAGUUUUAACGUAGCUAAAUGCCAGGACGGCUCGGCUGACCUUUUAAGGUUGACCAUUGAGUUUUUGUAAAAUAUGUCGGGAACCCUCCUUAGCGUAUUUCGACACCCUAAUUCCAAAUCCACUCUUCGUUUUUCCAAAUUUAAUGUUCUUAGUGGAGUUUUACUAAUGGGUCUCAAUAUUAUGCUUAGAUGCGAUUACUAUUGGAGACUCUGACUAUCCUAGUUCGAACGGCUGCUACCUCACAAGUAUCUAUGAAUGGGUCUUUACUUAUAAGUAUUAUAUAUUUAUUUAGUUUCCAUUUAUACAUUUGAAAAAAAAUUUCAUACGUAUGCCUAGAUUAGACUAAUGUUUAUAAGAAUUAGCAAAAUGACAGAAUUUACGAAAUUAUUCCAAAUCCAACGGGAUGCACAGGUAUGCAUACUAUUAUGGGAUGCUUUAAUUAUAUUUGCGGCCAUGAAUAGUGUUAGGAUUGAUUAGAAUUAUCAAUUUACCAUUAUAUGAUCAUAAUUGUAUUAUCUGCUCAUCGCGUGCUGCACUAGUAUUGUACUCGCGCGAAUCAGGACCAAUCUUUCACUGUGUAUGUUCACAUCGCACCGUACGUUCACUUUGAAUCCAUUGUAGGUACUAGUCCUAUCCUAGCUUGCUAUAGGUAAUUAGGACUCGCAUGUGAUUCGUAUAACGCCAAUCUUCACGUGGUUAUAGCACUUGAGCGUAAAUCAUCAUUACACCCAAUCUCAGUCAUGUCAAAAUAUCUCUGCAUGAACUUAUGUGUCAACAUGUAUCAAUGAGCACUCGAUAUGACAUGUUUAUGCGAGAUUACACGAUCUCAGUCAUAUGUUAUUUACGCAUUUUGUGACGUAUUGAAUUCUUGAGAUAUUGUAGACUACGGUAAGUAUUCUUAGACUAUACGUACUAUAUAUAUUUUGAAAAAUAUACUUGUUUUACAGCGAGAGUUUAUUAGGUUUUGAAAAGAUUAUACAAAGUUUUGCCUUUAGGCCCGCUCACCUUUGUUUUUCACCCCUCCAGAUUUUAGUGCUGAGCUUUCGUGUCGAUGAUAAUUCUUAGCAAAUCUUGGUAUAGGUGAUUACCUUUGAUGGUAUGAUUCUCACCCUAUUUUACGGUAUUUUACUUAUGCUUUGACAUCACAUGUGAAAUGGGUUGAAGUGUGUCACCCUGUAUAGAAUUUUCAAUACAUGUCUACUCAAGAGAACAUGGAAGUCAGAUUUAUUGAUACAUAAUAAAAGAAAUUCCUUAUGCAUUAGAAACAAUUUCAAAUGAGAAGCUCACUCUGGAGACUGAAAGUAACAUGCUCAGGUUCACCACCAUAUUCACUUUUUCCUUCUCCAUGCACUUAAAUUCUUCCUCAACCUUUAAGAAGUCAUUGUGCAGUUUGCUAUUGCACUGUUGCAACCUUGCCCUGCUCAGGAAAACACAAAAGUAAGAUUUAUAGAUACAUAAUAAGAGAAAUUCCUUAUGUAAUUAGCAACAAUUCCAAAUAAGAAGCUCGCUCUAGAGACUGAAAGUUGACUCCUUAACAUGCUCAGAUUCUCCACCGUAUUAACUUUUUCCUCCUCCACGAACUUAAAUUUUUCGUCAACUGUUAAAAAGUCGUCGUGAUGCUUACUACUGUACUGUUGCAAGCUUGCAAUGUAUUCUUGUGAUCGUUUGCACAUAUCAUUCAGUGAAGUUAUCUGCAGAGCUCUGAAAAAAAUAAUUUUCAGAUUAAAGCAUUUGUAAAGAAACUCCGUACCUGCCAUGGAAGCAAAAGAAGGAAAAGAAUGCAUAUUCUACUUUACCUUCUGAAUAACACUUGAAAGCUCAUUUUGAACUCUCCUGUGCUCUGUAGCCUGGUACACAUAUUAAAUCAUUUAAUAAUCUAGAGAAAUUAACCAAACUCACCCACAUUGAAUGUCAAACCCACCUACAACCAAAAUGCUUAUGGAUCUCUUCAGCUGUUCUAGGGUUUCUUCACUCCUGUAACAUAAUGCAAAAAUACCCACAUCAAUACUACCUAAGCUCUGUAAUUCGUAUGGAAAACUUGUAUAUAACCAACCUACUCUUUUCAAAAGGAAUUCGGUGUAAUAAAAAAGAAAAAUAAAAAAAAUAAAAAGAAAAACAACAACAACAACUUACUAUUUCUUAUGACUAAUUCCAAUUGCCCUUUAGGCUCCCUAGCUUUUGAACCUCCAUGGUCACACUCACGAAUCCACAACCAUGAAACCAAAGUCAUUACUUUGGCAAAUAAACAUAACCAAAAACAAAAACAACUAAAUUUUUCAAAUGGGUUUAUCCCCAAAAUUACCAGCCGAGUUGCUGAAAACUGUGAUAUGGGGUCCGAAAACCAAUUUGCACUGCUCCAACGAAGACCCAAGAGGAACCACAAUUUGAUUCCAAUUAACAAAGAAGCAAAAACAAUAAAUAAUGGGUAUAUACCUGUAAAAGAGUGACCUGUGCUGAGAGGGUGGUUGCCUCAGUCUGAAGCUUCAGCAGCAUUCUCUCCAGCUCAUUCGUAUACCUCACUUUUCUCUCCUACCUCACAGCUGAUUGCCUAUUAGCUAAAUCCUACAAAACCAAAAAAUUGAAAAACCACAAUUGCUCAUUCAAUAUAAUAAUAAUAUCAGUGUUUUAAAGAACUCGCCUCGGGGCGCGCCUAGGGCGCCCUUGAGGCUGGGCGCCAUGACAAACGCCUCAGUUUUGCUGGAGUGGGCGAAAGGCUUCGCCGGAGCCGCCUAGGCACCGCCUCAGCCGCCUAGGCGCCGCCUCAGCCGCCUAGGCGGCGCCCAGUGGGUUUUUUUUUUUUUUUUUUUUUUUUUUUUUUUUUUUUUACUCCCAAACCCAAAUUUUGGGCAGGAUUUUAUAUAAUUGAUGUGUGUGCUGUCUACGUGCAUUGUUAUAUGUGUGCUCAUUAUGCUUUUCAUCCUCUAUUUUAUACAUACAUAAUAUAAUAUAUGUAUAUAUAUGUGUGUAUAUAUAUAUUUAUAAUAUAUGUGUGUGCUCAGGUGAUUAUUGAUUAAUAAUCUCUCUUUUUAAUAUAAUAUAUGUGUAUGCUCAGUGUAUAUAUUAAAAAAUUUAGGUCCCGUGAGGCUUCGCCUCACGCCUCACGCCUCACGCCUUACGCCUAGGCCAGGCUUCCCCUCGGACGCCUCGCCCACGCCUCACGCUUUUAAUACAUUGAAUAAUAUCCACAAAAAUAACCCAAAAAUUCAAGACAAACACACACAAGUACAAAUAAAAAUUAGAAAGUGUUACCCUUCCCAACACAAACUUCAACCACAAAAAUUUGCUAGAUAGACCAAAAGAAAUUCCCAAAAUUUAAGCAAAUGCAAUUUCUAAAGAUUUUGCAGAACAGAAGGCCAAUUUCCCCCAGUUUAAUUUUCAUAAUUACAAAAUAAUUGCAAGCAAUUUAAUCAACAGUAGUAGAGCAGAAAAACCUAAAAACAACAGAAAGAAAACCUCAAAAUCUUAGUAAAAUGAAGAACAAAAAUCACUAAUCACAACCAAAAUUAAUAAAAAUAAUAAACUAGUAUGCAUGAAAGACAGAAAUAAUCAGUGAGAGGGAGGAAAUCGAUUUCUGAAGGAGCUCUUUCGUUCGAAUCCAAGUCGAGCAUGAAGGAAAAGGUGGAGGAGGAAACUCCAAACCUUGAGAACUUGGUCUUCUGGGAAGCGAGUCGAGGAGCACAACCAAGCUUGAGAGAACUAAGAGCGAGACAGGGUGAGUUUGAGAGCAACAGAAGAGAGAUUUGUGAGAGAAGUGGAAACAAAAUGAAAAAUCGAGAAGAUAUGUUCAAAAUAUAGGGUCGGUCGAUGAUCGACGCGUGGAUCAAAUGGGCAAAACAGCCAUUUGACUGUACAAAUGAGGAAACAGCAAAGGAAAACGGAGGAAAAACAGAGGGGCAAAACAGUCCACCCACUGGUCAUCAACAGUACCCCUGAAACUGAGUUUUAGUAUAUAGGACUAGAAUUUGUACCUGAGCGUUGUUGCGGGAUUCAAAACUAUAUGAAAGAUUAUGCAAUUUCAAUCUUCAUAAACAAUGUUUGAGUCAAAAACUGAGUUACAUUGCCAAUGCAAAUUAUACACAACCUCAUCAUGAAUGAAACAAAUUUAAAUUUCAAAAGAGAAACCUAUUUCGUCUAUUAAAAAUAUUACAAAGUUCUUUGGAUACGAAAAAACACAAAUUGCUUCCUAUCUAAAAACAUUAAUGAGAAAUGUUGUUUCCUGCAACACUAAAAGUUGUCCUCUGCUAUGUUGGUCAUUAAGAAAGCAUCCUAGGCAAGGGGAAAAAAAUUGAAAUAAAUUUAUAAACAGUAGAAUUAUAUCAUGAACAAAAUAAGGAUAAAGCGUGUUUACCUAGUGUUUUUGUGUGCAGAAAAAAGUCUGAUUUGCAUGAAAUGGAGAUGACCUUCUCUGGCAAUUCUAUAGGACGCGAUCAAACUUUUGUGCGUUUUCAACUUGCCUUGCAACCAAGUUUCUACAAAAACAGAUCGAAUUCGAGAAAGUAAUUAGACCAAGGCAUAAUAUAAGAAAAAGUAUAGAAAAUAUAAACCACAUAUACCACUUAUUAUACUACUUUGUAUUCCGAAUACACCUGAAAAUAUAUCGAUUUCUAGUGAAUAGUUCGGUUCCAAUUAAUUCCACUUUAGUUUCUUUCAAACCCUUCAACUUAUCCUUGACUUUUUUUAACGGCAUUAUAAUUAAGAGUUAGUUUCCAUCAAAUCCUUCAACCAAUCCCACCAAUACCUGUCUAACCCUUCAUAAUCCCAAUUUUACUCUCUUAAACCCUCUAACCUAACCUUGACUUUGUUUUUACAGCUCUUUCAUUUAAAAGCUUAUUUUCUCUACAAAAUCAUAAUAGUUUCUGUCUUACAUCACAUUUUAAACUCUUGAUAACAUUAAUUUCCAUCUCAAAUCAGAAUGAACCUCCAACGUUAGAAAUAUGAGUAAAAAAAUUGUUUACUAAAAGAAUUUGCCAAUUCUAAUUAACAACUGUUAAUCAAACUGUAAAAGCAACAUAUGAGUUUUUCCAACUUCAACCAUAGAACCAACAGCGAGAAUCCAAUUGGAAAUGGAAUAGACCAAACAGACCAUGAAGAUUACACAAUCAGAAGAUGAUAUAUUUGAAGGAGAAGAGUUCAUUGCAUAGUAUGAUGACAGCCGAUCAACAGCAGAAACUGAGAAGAGCGAAGAACUUGGCCUCAGAUUUUCUCCAGAAUAAUUGAAAAAAUAAAUAAACUUAACAUGUAGGAAUGAUGCUGUUAUUUUCUCCAAACAAUAAGCAUCAUCUCUUAAAAUAUUAAAAAUAAUUUAUGUGCAUUUCAUUCAUAUUUCUAUUCACAUCAUAAACGUAAAUCUCAAAACACAACUCAUGAAACAACUUUUCUUACUAAACCCUAGAACACAUUUUAAAAUUUUUAAAAUAGUUCUCAUUUUUUGUUUUUUAUAUACUUAUCCACACUAAUGACCGAGCAAUCUAGCGAAGAUCACAAAAAGUGACCGUUUUCACUACCUAGGAUCUAUCUUGCAAGAGAACGGAGAAUUAGAUGGAGAUCUCAACCAUAGAAUACAAGCUGGAUGGAUGAAGUGUAAGAGUGCAUCCGGCGUGUUGUGUGACCGUCGUAGGCCACUGAAGCUCAAGGGAAAAUUUUAUAGGACGGCAAUAAGGCCAGCGAUGUUGUAUGGCACAGAAUGUUGGGCGGUGAAGCAUCAACGUACACAAAAUGGGUGUAGCGGAGAUGAGGAUGCUUCGUGGGAUGUAUGGGCACACGAGAAAGGAUAAGAUUGGGAAUUAGGAUAUCCGAGGUAAAGUAGGAGUAGCCAAAAUUGAAGGAAAUAUGAGAGAAAAUCGGUUCCGGUGGUUUGGACAUGUGCAAAGAAGGCCUACUGACGCUCCGGUUCGAAAAUGUGACUACGGGACAGAGGUUCGGGGCCGAAGGAGUAGAGGAAGACCUAGGAAAACUUUGGAAGAGACCCUAAGAAAAGACUUGAGUACUUGGAUCUAACGGAGGACAUGACACAAAUGAGCGCAAUGGCGUUCUAGGAUUCAUAUAGCCGACCCCACUUAGUGGGAAAAGGCUUUGUUGUUGUUGUUGUUGUUGUUAUAAAUUUUCACAUCAAUCUUUAGAAAGUAAUUUUUUAUAUAAUUAUUUAAAAUAUGCUGUAUAAAACAUACUUAUUGCUUCCACUUAAGAAAACUGAAAACACAAAAUGAAUUAAACUCGGAGAUUAAAGUAAGUUCCCUUACCAAAUAACUGAAGCCAAAUUGACACAGAAGCAUAUCAACGUUGCAUCGUCACAGGUACACCAUUAGCAACGUUGCUUUACUGAUUCAAACAUAAACAUGAAUGAAUUAAAAGCGUUAAAAAAUGAAAUAACACUUCAAUUCUUUGCUAAAUUCAUUCAUGCGUUUCUUAAAUUUAAUUCAGCUUAUAAAUUUUCACAUCAAUCUUUAGAAAGUAAUUUUUUAUGUAAUUAUUUAAAAUAUGCCGUAUAAAACAUACUUAUUGCUUCCACUUAAGAAAACUGAUAACAUAAAAUGAAUUAAACCUCGAAGUAGUUCUCCUAAUGAAUUUUCAAAACAACGAUACAGUACAGAAGAGAAGAUUGACCAAAUGAAAGUACAAAACCGUAUGUCUGCUGAACUGGUUCCCAACUUAAUGCUUAGUUUUAUGUUGCAUGUAGACUUCUCUACAUUGGGAUAUACAUAUGUACAUAAUAAUUAUAUAUACACACACACACACAUAUGUAAAUACUUAUAGCAGGGAAGAAACUAACACAAUAAUAUAGCAAUUGCUAGGAAAAUGACAGAUGUACAUAUUUUACUGAGAGAAUAUGAUGAAAGAGGAUUCUUUUAUCGAUCAGCGACAUUCUGCUUAUUCCGUAGAAUUAGAACGUCGGAAAUGAAUCCGAGGUAAGGAAAUAUAGUAGUGGCGAAUCCAAGAUCAGCGGCCUCGGAGAGUUAGUUCGAGCGCAUAUUCGGAUAUCCAAGAAUGGGACCUGCAGGGGGGGUGUUUGUGAAAAAAAAAACACAUUUGUGAAAAAAAUACAGGGAAGAAGAAAUCAAAACUAAAACCAGAAAAUACAGAACAAUCAAAACAAAAACCCACACAAAAAUGAAGAAAGUCAGAGAAUCCAGAGCAAGAUUAGAAUUUGGAAGAAACCCCAUUUGAGAAAAACCCGCAAAGAUGAACAAAAGUAGCAUCAAGAUUAAAAGCAGAGCAAUCAGAACAAAACCCAUAUGAGAAAUAGCCACAAAGAUGAAGAAAAAAAGAAUCUUGGGGUUUGGGAUAUACCUGAAUGAAGCAGUCAUGGAAGAAGAGGCGCAGUACCUGAGCAGAGACAUUCUUCUGGUGGGUGUAAUCUGCGUCAUCGUCGACCUCACAAUGGUCUCAGUUUCUGGGCAAGUCUCGUUGUAGAAAUCGUAUUCAAGAUCCAAUUGACCUCCAUCAUUCAUCUCCUCAAUGACGAAAUCUUGGCCGCCAUCGGAAGAAGCCAGAGAAACCAGAUUGACCAGUGGCUCUUGGGCGGAGGAGGAGGCGAAGAGAAGCAGGGAAACACGAAGGAUUGAUGCAGGGAGAAAAGCACAGAAAUAGAGAGGAAGAGAAGGGGAAAAGCGACGGAAGAAAAUGGAAGAGCACCUUCCCACAAAAAUGUUACUUAUUUGACAGCAAUGCAAUAGGGCAAAGUUGAAAUAACAAAAAAGAAGCAGGGGUGAAAAUGGAAGAACACUUGGAUUUUAGUAUGUAUAAAUAGAAAGCCUUUAAGGGAAAGGAUUCUAUUUUUAAAACAAAAAAUAUAGAGACCCCUCUUAAUCGUUAGAUUUGAUUUUAAUGAAAUUUUUGUAGUUGAGAUUCUAUGGCCUAUGAUUUAAUCUCAACCACAGAAUUUCAUUAAAGCCAGAUCUAAUGGUCAAAAAGAUGUCCCUUUUUUUUUUAAAUGAGAAUCUCUUCUCUUAGAGGGCCUGUAUAUAAAUACAUGUACACAUAUCUAUCUGUGCAUUUAUAUAUAAACACACAUAUAACACAUAAUUAAACUAAUAGAAUUUUAUUCGUUCAUCACAAUAAAGUUACAUCAUCAAAAUAACACAAUAAUACAAUAAUCAAAUAGAGUCACUUAGUACUACGGUCUGAUGACAUUUCUCUUCACUUGGAAGUGAGAGAUCUUAGGUUCGAAUCUCGUGGAUGGCGAAUUCGAUACCAAAUUAGGUUGCUCAUUGCAUGGCUUAACCGAACUCCCCUUCCCCUACUCAAAAAAACAAAAAUAAAAAAAAAUAAAAAACCAAAUAGAGAAAACAAAACAAAUUAAACUCCUAAACCCAAAUUAAUUUCAACUCUUUAACACCUUUUUCUUAGUAUUAGAAUCAUGCUAUGGGGCAUCAAACCAACUCCAUUUUUAUAAGGCUUGGAUUUUUUCAGAGCCGUUGGGCAUCACGCUUCUUUGGUUCCUUUAGGUACCAUUUGGUACUUGGGACGGGACGGAACGGAGUGAGACGAAGCGUUCCGUCCCACGUUUGGUGCGUUCACAGGACAAAUUUUGAGUGAAUUUUCGUUCCGCCUUACCCCUUGGAAUGACUUGUUCCACAUCCGUGGAACACAAAAUUAUAACCUCUUCGUCUCCUUCUUCUUCCUCCUUGUUUCCAUCCGAAGACAUCUUUGCUCCCUCUUCGUUCCAUCCCGUCAUGUCCUGUCUCAUCCCGUCUGCAUACCAAAUGAUACCUUAGCUUUUGGGGUUGUAGAACCAUAUCCGCUCAUCUUGAUCACUAAAAUCUGUUGUAACAUACACUACUACAUAAUAGGGGUGGGCACGAGUAGGUUUGGGUCGGUUUUGGGCCAAAAUUGAAACCAAAUCGACCUAGUUGGUUAGGCCAAAAUUACAAACCAAAACCAACCAAGCUGGGUCUAAAACCGAUCAACCCAACAGUGAUGGGUUGGUUUGGGUCGAUUCUUGGUUUGUGUGUGUUGAACAAAAAAAAAAACAUAUGAAAAAAUAGAGUCCAUACAAAUUGGGUCAAACUAUAUGGUAAAACAAAAAUGUAAUCUAGCCCAAAAAAUGAGGAUAGGCUUUACAUACAAAUACAUCCAGGAAUAAUAAAAUAAAAUAAAUAAUUUAUAUUUUUUCCUACAAAAGGGGGGAAGUAACGUGCAAAAAACAGGUGCUCCCCCAUUUUCUGCAACAAAAAGAAACGUGGAGUCAAAAAGGGGGGUUAACAGAAAGUGGCAGGAGGUCAUGGCUUCCAUCUCCCCCCAUGUAACAAAUUCUAGAGCCUUAUUAGGAUGCCUAUAAAUAGGCAUCAGCUACAGCAAGAGAGAAGGACAAAAAAAAAGGAGGGUACUCUGCAGAAAUUGAGAGACAGAAGAGUGCAGUGAAGACGAUAGAGAAGGAGAGGCAAAGCAAGAGAGCAAAGGCAAAAGAGAAAUAGAAGAAGAAAAAAAAUAAAAAAGAAGAUAUCAAGUGUUACCCACAAGAACAAAGAGCAAGAAAAGCUACAAAGCAUUUAAAGGUAUAAAUCUAUCCUUCUAAAUCUUUCUUUGUAUGGUUUAUCUCGGCUUUGCAGGAAAAAAAAAGCAAUUUGUUUCUUCAACGUCUCCCAUCCCCAGUCCCAUGAAUUUCUUCGGGGUGAUCUAAACCACCCCGUGAAGUUCCAAUCAAUAUAAGUGGUCCGUUUCCCGCCGCUGCUGUCAAUCCUAUGAAUUUCUUCGAGGUGGUCUAAACCAUCUCGUGAAGUUCCAACCAGGUCUAGGUGAUCACUGCACUACGGCAACACCACCGCUCUUCAACCGUUGUCUCCAUUAGUCAUCUGGAAGAAGCCCAAGGGAAGUGCAGUUCAUGAUCCGAAGGUGAUGAAACCAAAGGAUAUAGUUGGGCACGCCAGUCCAGACCAUCAAUAAAUUUGAUGAAGGCUUGAGUAAGAAGAUGGUAGCGGUGUGAAAUAGCUAAAGAAGGCAACAUUGCAAUAAACCGCCAAUGUCAGACGGAAGCCCAAAUAGAGACAGCAGCUGCGCCAUGUCUUCACCAUCAUCGACACCCUGCAACUUGUGAUAUCCAACGGAGAUUUCAUCAAAACACAGUACCAAACCGUUUUCCCACAACCUCCUGCAGCCUCUUGGGUGUCUAAAGAAGUUUUCGACAUCUCUCUUUCUCUUUUCAGAGAUGCAACGAAGAAGAAGCCGUCGCUCUGCAUGUUUGAACAAGUGGAGAACAAGAACCCAACAUGCCCAGCUAUGGUCCUGAAGCUUCUUUCGGUCGACGGGCCAUGGUCGUCUUCAAAAGCUUUUAGCGUUCUUCAUUAAGACUGUUUGUACCAUACCUGACCAAUCCCGAAACUACUGAGCAUCGGUCAACGUUAUACUGUCAAGGACCUAGAAGAGUUUCCCUCCAACCAGGAGGCCAAUUAAAGUGCGACACGUGUCGACAUCAGAAGCCAAUCAUAGCGCGACACAUCUCAACAUCAGAAGUCAAUCACAACACGAUACGUGUCAAUGUCAGAAUGAAACUAGAAACUCUCUUCUAUAAAUAAAGAUCAUUCUCUCACAAUAUUUCCUAAUGUCAUUUAUACUAAAUCAUUCACUUGUACUCAUUAAAGGAGAGCUUGAACCUAUGUACUUGUGUAAACCUUUCACAAUUAAUGAGAACUCCUCUACUCCGUGGACGUAGCCAAUCUGGGUGAACCACGUACAUCUUGUGUUUGCUUCCCUGUCUCUAUCCAUUUACAUACUUAUCCACACUAAUGACCGGAGCAAUCUAGCGAAGGUCACAAAGUUAACACUUUCUGUUGUACCAAAGUCCUCACUAAUUUUGUGCAUCAACAUUUGGCGCCGUAUGUGGGAACGACACUUAUUCCCAUUCUCUUCAGCUUUGUCAAGCUGGUUUCCACCAUUCGUACACUCUCUUUUGACCAGGCAUCCCUCUCCAACAUGGGGAGCGAAGGAAGCCACAGCACACAAAAUGACACCCCUAUUGCACCAAGUGCAAAGCAACGAAAGAAUGAAGGAAAGAGGGUUACUCUUCAAGCUAAAGUCGAUGAGCUAGAAGCUCAGAACAACAAGAUAGCAAUGAAGAAUGAGGUCCUCCAGGAGCAGUAUGAGAAGCUCUUUGAAACACUCCAUGAAAUUAGGCGUACUCAAACACACGAGCUCAUUGCCCCUGUGGACAUCAACCAUCAUCUAGGUGUUUUCCAACACGGAGGGUCACAUUCCUUCAACAUGGGUAUCCCUGAUGAAGAGCGAGCUAAUCAUCAAAACAUUGAUCAACAUGAGACAUCUCUCAACCCAGCUGCUUCAACCUGAAGCAAGAGAAGUGGAGGAAGACACCUCCUUGCAGAAGGGUUGGAAGGAUCAAAAGCCGUUUAUCGUGACUGCCGAGACUUCCUAAAGUAACGUUGAAAGAAUCCCCUCCACAUAUGCUCGAAGAUCAAUGACCCAAGGGUUCCUAAAAGACUCGAUCCCUUCCCACGACCUAGGUUAGCUGCCAAUCUAGGGAAGGAACAACAGGUCCCAGAGGAACAUGAAAGUACAGGGGACUUUGAAGUAUUCCGACAGACUCGCCCUAGAAGUCAGUACGGCGAGUCCAAGGAAAAAUUGCACGCCUUUGCUCAAACUUUCCUACUUCCAAGAGGCAAUUGAGACUUACGAAAGAAAAUACCAGUGGUACAUGAGUCCACUCAGGAUCCCCUUGUCCUACAGCUCCUUGAGGAAGUAAACAAGUUGAAGGCCGAACGUCAGGCUGAGAUACCUGACUGGAACCAACCCAGGCCUGGCCCUCUCACAAGGAGGAUCCUUGACACCCUCUUCAAGCGAAGACAAAACAAAAGCUUGGUUUACAACUAUAUACUCGAAGGGAGGACCCAAUUGAAAACCUUAACCUCUUUGAGUCCACCAUGGCAUAUCAGAUGCACACCGACGAAGAGCGAUGUCUUCUCUUCCCCUCCACCCUCUGGCGGAGCUCUAAACUGGUAUUGCCGUCUUCCACCUAAGACAGUAGACUCAUUUGAGGAAUUGAGGAAACUGUUUGUCUCUCAACACAUCUUCCAGACCGAUCGCUUGCAUUCUGCAGAUGACUUGUACACUAUUUGCCAGAAGCCGAACAAGUCACUACGAGAGUAUGCUGGUCGUUUCAACCAUGAGUAUUCUCACUACGCUGAGGCAGAUGACAAGACCACCUUCAAGGCCUUCACGGCAGGGCUACGUGAUUGUUUCUUUAAGUACAUGAUCAAUGCCAACACUUGGAAGACUUACUCUGAGGUGAUGGCACAAACUUACAACCAUGCCUCUGCCGAGGCAAGGACAUAUCAAGGGAAACCCCCCACAACCACCCCUUAUCAGCAAGUAGGGAGUGGAAGCCAGAUCAAACCAAAUGAGAAGACCUCGACCUUCCAAACGGCAGCGGUGCCUCCCCCUGCCUUACUUAAUACUUCGUCAAGUCAACAGACAUAUCAAUCUCAAGGCAAAAGGAAAGAUUUCUAUCCUCACCAGUCUCAUUUUAGUAAAAAGAGUAAAGGACACUACCGCGAUAACCAAUGGUAUCGCCAUGAUAAUCCCCAACCCUAGGCAGUCAACACAGUGGGUCAAGCACGUGUCAGGAUAACCCCUACCCCAAGGUAUGAGGCAUACACACCUUUGAACGCCACAUGCGUGGCCAUUUACCCCAGCAUAACACACUUGAUACCGAAGCCAAAGCCGAGGCACCCGGAUUACAAGCCCAUGAAAAACAUGGGCACGUUUUACUGCUACCACGAGCAUAACGGCCAUGACGGUGAAUAGUGUAUCACCCUUCGUGAUCAUAUUGAAACUUUAGCACGUGAAGGAAAAAUUGACCAAUUUCUCCUUCACCUUCCAAGGGGUAACCGUAACCAACACCAGGUAAAUGUGAUAUAUUCCAUAAGUGGUGGCACACCCAUAUCUAAAUCUUCAAACAGGGCCAUGAAAAAUAGUGAACAAGCUUUAAGGUCUGGCCACCAAAUGUUUCAUGUGGAAGACAUCAGGGGAGGUAAGUAUCAAAAGCCUAACUGGGAUCCAAUAUGUUUUUACCCUGAGGAAGAAAGAAGUAUCAUCUACCCUCACAACGACCCACUGAUCGUGGAAGCUCACAUAGCCAACUUUGAAGUACGACGAAUCCUAGUAGACACGGGGGCUUCGGUCAAUAUCAUGUUUGCUGAAGCUUUCAGGGCACUUAAUGUAGCUGAACACUUGCUCGAUCGCUCGAUUUCCCCUCUGAUAAGCUUCUCCGGUGAUAUCGUGCAACCUUUGGGAAGCAUACACUUACCUUUCACCAUUGGUACAUGCCCUUACACAAUUACCAUUACCACUAACUUCCUGGUGGUUGAUUGCCCAGCGGCAUACAAUGUCAUCUUCGGACGUACAGCCAUCAAUGAUCUUAAGGCCAUGGUAUCCACACAUAUGUUGUUGAUGAAAUUUCCAACCCCCUUAUGGCAAUGGUUACAUCAGAGGAGAUCAACUUAGUGCACGAUCAUGUUACAACACUUCGGUCAAGUAACAGCACCUGUAUGUGCCCAAAGAAACCCUUUCUAUACAUGACCAAGUCAUAAAGAAUAGCCCAGACGAAGCUAACUUGGAUCUUCACGAUGGCAACAGUCAACCUGACGAUCCUCGAGAUGACUCUUUCAUCCAGCAAGCACAACCCGCUGAAGAGUUGGAGAAGUUCUCUAUCUCAAAAGAUUAUCUGGAUCGCAUGGUGAAGAUUGGUACCAUACUAAGGUAUUUGCUUGGUCAUACGAGGAUAUGCCAGGCAUCUUUCCUGAUAUAAUCUAUCAUCGCUUAAGUAUUGACCCCAAGACUAAGCCAGUGAGACAGAAGAAAAGAUCUUAUGAUUCUGAAUGGUACGAGGCAAUGAAGGCAGAAGUUGAAAACCUCAAAGGCAUAGGCUUCGUCCGUGAAGUUAAUUAUCCAACGUGGGUAGCAAAUGUUGUCCUUGUUAAGAAGAAUCCGACCAAGGAAAGUCUCCUGCUCCAAAAGGUUUUGUGGAGAAUGUGUGUCGAUUACACCGACCUAAACAAAUGAUGCCUGAAGGAUAGAUUUCCUCUUCCUCUCAUAGACAGACUUAUAGACUCUACGGCAGGGUGUGAACUCCUAAGCUUCAUGGAUGCUUACUCAGGAUACAACCAAAUCCUCAUGAACCCUCCGGACCAAGAACACACAGCCUUUACUACUGACAGGGGAUUAUAUUGCUAUAAAGUCAUGCCCUUCGGCCUAAAGAAUGCAGGAGCGACUUAUCAAAGACUGGUCAAUUCAAUGUUUGCCGAACAGAUUGGAAAGAGCAUGGAAGUUUACAUUGAUGAUAUGCUAGUCAAGAGCAAACAUGUUGACCAACACAUCACCAACCUAUCUGAAACUUUCACCAUUCUGAAGAGGUAUCGAAUGAGGUUGAACCCCAACAAAUGUGCCUUCGGCGUAGGCUCUGGCAAAUUCUUAAGCUUCAUGAUAAACCAACGAGGCAUUGAGGCUAAUCCCGAGAAGAUCAAAGCAAUCCUCAACAUGAAGGAACCGGUAACUUCAAAAGACAUCCAAAGCCUUACUGGCAAGGUGGCAGCCUUAACUAGGUUCAUCUCUAAGGCCACAGACAGAUGUGCUCCUUUCUUCAAAGCACUUAAGGGAAGUAAGAAGUACAUUACAUAGACUGAUGAAUGUGUUGAGGCGUUCAAAAACCUCAAAGACUACAUGAGUAAAGCCCUUCUGCUCUCCAAACCUGAGGUUAGUGACACUUUCAUUAUCUAUCUGUCGGUAUCGGCUUUAGCAGUAAGUUUCGUUCUCAUUAGAAAUGAUAAUAAUGUGGAACGGCCUAUCUACUACGCUAGCAAGGCCUUACAAGAUGCAGAGACACGAUACUCCAACAUUGAGAAAUUGGCUCUAGCAUUGGUCAUGUCUGCUCGAAAACUUCGCCCUUACUUCUAAGCACACUCCAUCAUCGUGCUUAUCAAUCAUCCUCUUCGAUAGAUACUCCAAAGUCCUGACACUUCCGGGCGAAUGAUCAAAUUGGCGAUAGCAUUGGGUGAGUUUGACAUCUCAUACCAACCAAAACCAGCUGAUAAGGGCCAAGCAAUGGCAGACUUCAUUGCCGACUUCACAUAUCCUGUUGACAUUGUUUCUACGCCUAAAGAAGUGGUUUCAUUACAUUCGGAAGCUCAGAAAAUAUAACCAACAGCCCCAACAUGGAGUCUAUAUGUUGAUGGCUCGUCCAACCAACAGGGUUGUAGAGCAGGACUAGUCCUUACGACCCCUGACAAAGUGGCGAUGGAGUAUGCUCUUCGUUUCAAAUUUAAGGCGUCAAAAAUUAAGGUCGAAUAUGAAGCCCUCCUAGCAGGCUUACGUUUGGCCAAACACCUUGGGGUUAAACGAAUUGAUAUCUUCAGUAACUCCCAAUUGGUGGUUAACUAGGUCACCAACAACUUUGACGUUAAGGAUAGCUCCAUGGCAGCCUAUCUAGCACAAACACAAUUGUUGCUUAAGCACUUCCACUACCAGAUCACCCAAAUUCCUCGAGCGGUAAAUAGUCAUGCAGAUGCUUUGGCUCGCCUCACCUCAGCAGUGGAAGACAAGAUUGGGAGAAAAAUUCAGGUCGAAUUGUUGGCAGCACCAAGCACCAUAGCUGCGGAAGUGUGCAACUUACAACAGGGGGAUAGUUGGAUAACCCUAAUUUAUAGAUUCCUUGCUCAUGGCACCCUUCCAAAUGACAAAGUCCAAGCUAAGCAGAUUCGAUACAAGGCUACCCGUUACUUGAUCAUUAAUGACCAACUCUACAAGCGGGGUUUUAACCUACCAUACCUAAGAUGCCUUACACCCGCAGAGGCGGAAACUGUCAUUCGGGAAAUACAUGAAGGAGUCUGCGGAGAUCAUGUUGGAUCUCGAUCCCUAGCACACAAGGCUUUUCGCCAAGGAUAUUACUGGCCAACACUCUACCAAGAUGCCAUCAGAAUAUCCCGCUCAUGUGAUAAGUGUCAACGCUACGUAACUAUUCCUCACUCCCCUCCUAAGCCACUCACUCCUAUGAUCAGCCCUUGGCCCUUCGCUUAAUGGGGACUUGAUUUAAUUGGCCCAAUGUUUGCAGGGAAGGGCAAGGUUCGCUAUGCAAUUGUUGAAGUUGACUAUUUCACAAAGUGGGCCGAAGUAGAACCCUUGGCAACCAUUACUGAGGCAAAAAUAGAAGACUUCGGAUGGAAGAACAUCCUUUGCAGAUUCGGCAUUCUCAAUGCAAUAGUCACUGACAACGGGCGACAGUUCGACAACAAUAAGUUUAUGAUGUUCUGCUCUAAGUUCAACAUCAACUUAUGUUUUGCCUCCCCAGCUCAUCCCCAGUCUAAUGGACAAGUUGAAGCCAUCAACAAAAUAAUCAAGCGAACUUUGAAAACCAGCUUGGACAAGGCUAAAGGUUGUUGGCCAGAAUUUGAACCCCAAGUUCUUUGGUCAUACCGCACUUCGUAUCGGACAUCAACAGGAGAAACCCCAUUCUCACUUACCUUUGGUACAGAGGCAGUUGUCCCAGUUGAGCUUGAGCAAGCAACGUUCCGAGUCCAGAACUACGUGCAAAGCGGAAAUGACAAACAACUUACCCUCAACUUAGAUCUAGUCGAGGAACACAGAAACUAGGCUCACUUGAGGAAUGUCGCCUAUAAGCCGCGCAUCUCCAACUACUAUGACUCAAGGGUUAAACCUUGUUCUUUCAAAGUGGGGGACUGGGUAUUGAAGAAAAGAUUACUCUGCGACAAAGUCCCGAGUGAAGGAACACUUAGCCCAAACUAGGAUGGACCGUUUGAAGUUGUUGGCAUCAGUUGCCCUAGCUCCUACAAGCUUAGAAGCUCUGAUGGCAAAACCCUUGGCCAUCCAUGGAACGCUGAUCACUUGAAGUACUAUUACAAGUAAACUCACAUUGUACAAGUGUUAAGCUUCAGCCGUUCGACAUUUUAUGUAACGAAGACUAUUUGGGAUGAAUUCAAUAAAGAGGUGAUUUAGACAACUCGAUCUUAAUCCUCUUACAUUCCUAGCAAUGAAACACUCGGGUUCAAAGCUUCAACAUGAAUGCUUCCAACAUGAAACAAAGUCUAAGUAUAUGUCAACAAGACUAUACAAAUAAAUGAACAGCUUCACAGUAUAUUCGUUCAAUCAUACAUUCCAACACAUUCAUACAUAAGCAAACUGUGCUUUGAAAGGGUUCAACAUAUUUUAUGUCAUUCAACACUUGCUAGAAUGUGCCUAGACACCUUGCCUUUAUUCUCACCAACCAGGUGAUGACAUGUGAAGAAGGAACUUAUCUUCAUGCCACCAACCAGGUGAUGAAAUGUACAAACCGUACUCUUCUUCAUGCCACCAUGCCACAAACCAGGUGAUGAAAUGUACAAACCGUACUCUUCUUCAUGCCACCAACCAGGUGAUGACAUGUACAACCCGUACUCUAAUAUCAUUUGGUAACUUGCCACUCGUGCCACCAACCAGGUGAAGAAAGAACUCAUCUUCAUGCCACCAACCAGGUGAUGAAAUGUACAACCCGUACUCUUCUUUAUGCCACUAACCAGGUGAUGAAAUGUACAACCCGUACUCUAAUAUCAUUUGGCAACUUGCCAUUCAUGCCACCAACCAGGGGAAGAAAGAACUCACAUUCGUACCACCAACCAAGUGAUGAAAGCAACUCACCAUUCAUUCCACCUACCAGAAGACGAGUCGUACAACUUGUACAUGUGAACUCCUAGCAUUCACAAAUAAUAAAAACCCUCAAGCUUGACAACUCAAAUAGGGGAGCACUUAUGCCCAACAAGAGUUAUAGUCACCAACAAAGCCUUAUUGAAAGCCAACAACAACUUCAGUGCAUGACAUACGAAGAUCAAGCUAAUCAGCCCUCUUGCAUUUGCUUCAAACAUUUCCCCAUUGUAACAAUGCAAACACUACAAUUCUCAAAAGCUUCACACACUCUUGAUCAAUAUAGUGUGAAGCAAAAUCAAUUUAUGGUGCUAACAAAAGCUUCAUCAAUGGAGGGCAACCAUAAUUCUUAAAAGCUUCACACACUCUUGAUCAAGACAGUGUGAAGUAAAACCAAUUUAUGGUGCCAACAAGAACUUCAUCAAUGGAGGGCAACCACAAUCUCAAAAGCUUCACACACUAUUGAUCAAGACAGUGUGAAGCAAAACCAAUUUAUGGUGCUAACAAAAGCUUCAUCAAUGGAGGGCAACCACAAUUCUCAAAAGCUUCACACACUCUUGAUCAAGACAGUGUGAAGCAAAACCAAUUUAUGGUGCCAACAAGACCUUCAUCAAUAGAGGGCAACCACAAUUCUCAAAAGUUUCACACACUCUUGAUCAAGACAGUGUGAAGCAAAACCAAUUUAUGGUGCCAACAAGAGCUUCAUCAAUGGAGGGCAACCACAAUUCUCAAAAGAUUCACACACUCUUGAUCAAGACAGUGUGAAGCAAAACCAAUUUAUGGUGCCAACAAAAGCUUCAUCAAUGGAGGGCAACCACAAUUCAUAAAAGCUUCACACACUCUUGAUCAAGACAAUGUGAAGCAAAACCAAUUUAUGGUGCCAACAAGACCUUCAUCAAUAGAGGGCAACCACAAUUCUCAAAAGCUUCACAUACUCUUGAUCAAGACAGUGUGAAGCAAAACCAAUUCCACAAUUCUCAAAAGCUUCACACACUCUUGGUCAAGACAGUGUGAAGCAAAACCAAUUUAUGGUGCCAACAACAAGAGCUUCAUCAAUGGAGGGUAACCACAAUUCUUAAAAGUUUCACACACUCUUGAUCAAGACAGUAUGAAGCAAAACCAAUUUAUUGUGCCAACAAGAGCUUCAUCAAAUAAGUUCAACCACAAUUCUCAAAAGCUUCACACACUUUUGAUCAAAACAGUGUGAAGCAAAACCAAUUUAUGGUGCCAACAAGAGCUUCAUCAAUGGAAGGCAACCACAAUUCUCAAAAGCUUCACACACUCUUGAUCAAUACAGUGUGAGGCAAAACCAAUUUAUGGUGUCAACAAAAGCUUCAUCAAUGGAGGGCAACUACAAUUCUCAAAUCUUCGAAGCAAAUUCAAGACUGUUUGAAGCAAAUUCAAUUUAGAUGGUUCAUCCAAAACUUCGACUACUACAAGGUGUGGCUUGCAUCACAAUCUCUUGCUCAACAAUGUGGAAGCAAAAUUUGUAUAUGUUGUCUCUCCCACAUUUUCAAAUUUCUAGUUUCCAAAAAAAAAAAAAAAAAGGGAAAUUCAACAAAGCUUCAUCAAUGGAGGACAACUACAAAUUCUCAAAAGCUUCACACUAACUUGAUCAAGAUAGUGUGAAGCAAAAUCAAUUCAUGGUAUCCAACGAAGGCUUCAACUCCAAAGCUUCACAUACAAAGCUUCAACUCUAAAGCUUCACCUACAAAAGCUUUAACACAAAAGCUUCACCCACAAAAGCUUCAACACAAAAGCUUCACCAAUAAAAGCUUCAUCAAUGGAGGACAACUACAAAUUCUCAAAAGCUUCACACUAUCUUGAUCAAGAUAGUGUGAAGCAAAAUCAGUUCAUGGUACCCAACAAAAGCUUCAACUCCAAAGCUUCACUUACAAAGCUUCAACUCCAAAGCUUCACCUACAAAAGCUUCACCCACAAAAGCUUCACCCACAAAAGUUUCACCUACAAAAGCUUGACCCACCAAAGCUUGACCCACAAAACUUCACCUAUAAAAGCUUCACCUACAAAACUUCAACACAAAAGCUUCACCUACAAAAACUUCACACUAUCUUGAUCAAGAUAGUGUGAAGCAAAAUCAAUUCAUGGUGCCUAACAAAGCUUGACCCACAAAAGCUUCACCCAUAAAAGCUUGACCCAUAAAAGCUUGACCCACAAAAGCUUGACCGACAAAAGCUUGACCCACAAAAGCUUGACCUACAAAACUUCAACACAAAAGCUUCACCUACAAAAACUUCACACUAUCUUGAUCAAGAUAGUGUGAAGCAAAAUCUUUUCAUGGUGCCCAACAAAGCUUCAACCUCAAAGAUUUACCUACAAAGCUUUAAAAUAUAUAUAUAUAUAUAUAUAUAAAUUUUUUUUUCGGAAAUUCGAAAAUUCAAAAAUUCAGAAAUUUAAAAAUUCGAAAAAAUUCGAAAGAAAAAAAAAUCGAAAAAAAAAAAUUGUCUAGGCCUCCUCUUCUUUGGGCCUAACAACUUUCAUAACAAAUAUAUAUGAAGAAGGAGUUUUGGGCUACCACUUAGAAAGGAAAUGCCUCAUUCGUCAACUCCCUCGACUGGAGACUUGGGGGACUCCUACCAUAUGCUACUGCACCUUGAUACUCGAAAAUCUCACAACCACUCAGUGACUUGGAUUUUUCAAGUCUCCAAACGAGAAGUUUUCCUCACUUGGAAAAUUAAGGGAGCACUACCUCAACCUACAUGCUUCACUCACAAAGCUUCAACAUACAAGCUUCAACAAAAGGAAAAAUUCAAAAAACUUAGUGAAGAAGGCCUUGGUGUAUUUAACACAAUACGUUGAAAUGAAGCAAAGCUUGUUUAUUGAUAUCUCCGAUAAGUUACAAAUAUGUACAUAUACAUGAAACAAAAUAAACAAACAAGAGGGAGCAUUCACAAAGGUUGCUCAGGAGAAGUCUCAGCAGUUGGUAGAGCCCCAGAAAAAGGAGGCACUAUAGGGUGAUUAUUCGGAGCCUCAGUACUAGGCAGAACCCUAGAAGGAGGAGGCACCGAAGGUUAAUCAUUUGGAGUUUCAUUACGUGGUACAGCCCCAGAAAACGAAGGCAAUAAAUGCCUUUGGAACAAACCCACAAACCUCUGAUGAUCAAGUAUAAUCGGACCAUCAGAUUCCUGCAGCUGGUCGAGCUUCCUCUUCAUGUUUGUAGCAUAGUCAUGUGCGAGCCUGUGCAACUGUUUAUUCUCAUGCUUGAGCUCUUUGAUCUCCUGUUUGAGACUUAUCACUUUAGCCGCCAAUGAUUCAACUUGGCGGGUUCGAGCAAAUAGGUGUUGGGCCAUAUUAGACAUAGAACCUGCACACUGAACACUGAGAGCCAGAGAAUCCUUAAUAGCCAACUCAUCAGACCGUUUGGAAAGUAGUCUGUUAUCUUUGGGAGUGAGAAAGUUCAUGGCCACCACUGCAACAGUCAUAUCAUUCUUCAUCACAGAGUCCCCAACGGUAAGAGGACCAGUAGGGGAUAAGAAGGAUGGGCGCCAUAUGUUGUCUUGAGAAGGCAUGGUUGCCUCUUCACCAACGUUCAAGUCAAAAUGACGGUCGGAUGGGCCAGACAUUCUCAGAAAUGAUAAAGGAGAAAUGAGGUGCAAUAAGGGGAAAAUUCCUACAAGCAAUAACUCUCUGAAUGAACUCCUUGCACACAAUUGGUGCCCUUAUAAAAGAUAAGGCAACAAGGCCGUUGGUUCAAAAAUCGAAGAGGCACCACUCUCCGGAUUCCGAAGAGGCACCACUCUCCGGAUUCCGAAGAGGCACCACUUUUCACACGCAACAUCAGCUCCUCGAGUACCACAGAUAACUUUGCCAAAGAUCUCUGACAAAGUUUAGACACAUAAAUUUUGAAGGUCCAGCUACCCUACUAUUACCCACAAGGGUAAAGGAACAGCACCACAACUUGAUAACUAGAAAGUCCCAAUGUGUGUCAACCUCCGUGCUCUGUGGCAAGGCAGACUGGCAAAAAUGCUCAACAUUUACUCACAUUCGAGAAAACACUCCCAACGAGAUUUCUUUCUCAAAAAUCGAAGAGGUGCCGUUCUCCGAAUCUCAAAAGCCACUCCCAACAGGAUUGCUUUCUCAAAAAUUGAAAAGGUACUGUUCUUUGAAUCUUGAGAGCCAGAUCCCCGACAUGAUUGCUUGUUCGAAAACCGAAGAGGCACCGUUCUCCGAACUUCGAGAGCCAGAUUUCCUUGGAUAAAGCUUGUCUGCAAUCUUCACACGCAACAUCAGCUUUCCAGAUACCACAGACCACUUUUUCAAAGCGCUCUAACAAAGUUAAAACAUGUGAAGCUUGCAGCUCCCACUACAUUGCUAUAACCAAGAAGGGUAAAGGAAUAGCAUUAUUACUUUCUCAAAAAUCGAAAAGGCACCGCCCUCCGAAUCUCGAAAGCCAGACUCCUAACAGGAUUACUUUCUCAAAAAUCGAAGAGGCACCGCUCUCCGAAUCUCGAGAGCCAGAUCCCCAACAUGAUUGCUUGUUCGAAAACCAAAGAGGCAUCGCUCUCCGAACUUCGAGAGCCAAAUUUCCGUGAUAAAGCUUAUCUGCAAUCUUCACACGCAACAUAAGCUUUCCAGAUACCACAUACCACUUUUUCAAAGUGCUCUGACAAAGUUAAAUGACGUGAAGCUUGCGACUCCCAUUACAUUGCUACGACCAAGAAGGGUAAAGGAAUAGCAUUACUACUUGUUGUUAGGGAGACUCCUAUAUAUGUCGACCUCCAUCCUCAACGGACAGGCAGACCUGCAAAAAUGCUCAACCCUUCCUCAUAUCUGAUAGGGCACUCCUAAUGAAGCCUCUCGAAAUACUCAGCUUUCUUCAUCCCCAAUAAUACCUAUGCAAACCAGCCACACCAGAGCAAGAGUAUCUCAUAUCAUCAGGGUUAAAAGCAAGAGUAUCACAUAUCAUGUUUUUUCCCUGUCUUUUCCUUUGCCCUUGUUCUUACCUGCAAGACAAGGAGAAAGAGAGCAAUCAGUCAGCACUUGGAAUCAAGCAUCCAGUCAGAAACUGACUGCCUGGAACCCCUUGCCUGAUUACUUACCUGGCAUUGCUCUCGAGUACUCGUCUUCAACAUCUUAUGCUUCCAGAAAAGAUACCACAUCUGCCUGAGGAACAGAUAGGGCAAGUGAGAAGGAUACAAGGAAGCAUGUGGAGACAAACGCAACAGAACACAUGCCGAUUCAUCUAUUACUUUGUCAACAGCAAAAGUAUCCCAUAUUAUCAAGGUCGAACGCACUCUUGAUUUGAUGGACUUGUUUUGACCCUCAAAUUCUUGAGUCGGCCUUAUACUCUGGAGGAAACCAGAAAACCUUCCAGCCCAGUUCAAGAAUAAGCCUGUGGAAAGUUACUUCUUCAAAAGCAAAAGUAUCUCAUAUCAUCUCUUCUCCAUUUGCUUCUCCUUAUCCUUGUUGCUGUUUACGACACAAGGAGUGGGAGAACAAUCAACAGGAAGCCGAAGCCGAACCUCUGAUCUAGGUUGCUUGCUUGGAAGUCUGAUUACUUACCUUGUCUGUUACCUCUUUCGGCAAAUCUCUUAGCUCUUCGACUUGGGGGACUCCUACUAUAGGGUUUUGUAUCGCAGUUGACCAAGCUCGAAACUACAAGUAAGCUUCAAGUGAAAUUGAUACAUUACCUUGUGCAUCUUCAUUGGUUAAAGAUACCACCCCUGGAUGGAGGAAAAAUACUUCUAGAGAAGAUGCCACAGCUACGUAUGAGACAGAUAAGGCAAGUGAAAAUGAUACCACACUUCGGUACUUAGAAGUUUCAUGAUUACUCAAUGGCUUGGAUCUUGCAAGUCCCCAACUGAGAAGCUUUCCUCACUAGGGAACUUAGGAGAGCACUGUCUGUACCAUACUUGACCAAUCCCGAAACCACUGAGCACCGGUCAACGUUAUACCGUCAAUGACCCAGAAGAGUUUCCCUCAAACUAGGAGGCCAAUUAUAGCGCGACAUGUGUCGAUAUCAGAAGCCAAUCAUAACGCGACACGUGUCAACAUCAGAAGCUAAUCACAACACGACACGUGUCAAUGUCAGAAUUAAACUAGAAACUUUCUUCUAUAAAUAGAGAUCAUUCUCUCACAAUAUUUUCUAAUGUCAUUUGUACUAAAUCAUUCACUUGUACUCACUAAAGGAGAGCUUGAACCUAUGUACUUGUGUAAACCUUUCACAAUUAAUGAGAACUCAUCUACUCCAUGGAUGUAGCCAAUCUGGGUGAACCACGUACAUCUUGUGUUUGCUUCCCUGUCUCUAUCCAUUUACAUACUUAUCCACACUAAUGACCGGAGCAAUCUAGCGAAGGUCACAAACUUAACACUUUCUGUUGUACCAAAGUCCUCACUAAUUUUGUACAUCAACAAAGACAGAAACCCGAAGAAAGCCCAGCCAAAGAGGAAUAGGCGCUAGUUGUCGCUGACCAAGUUUCAUUCGAAUUCCAGUUUAAAUUAGGAAUUGGAGGAAAAAAAUCUCCAACAAGCAAAGAUGAUUCGUGAUUUUAGUCGAAGACUAGUUUUACCCAUGUGAAGACAAAUCCAUGCAGGAAGUGGAAAACUCAAAAGAAAGUCCUUGUUUUUUUUUUUAAAAGGCUUAGCACGUGGCACCUCAAAGAUGAAGCAAGCUAUUGUCAAAUGUUGGGCCAAAGCUAAAUUCAAGGUUGAAGACAAAUGACAAAAAAAAAUGUUUAAAACUCAUAAGGAGGAGAAGAAGAGUUCCAGCCAAAAGCUUUUGUCACAUCAAAAGUAAAGUUAAAAAAUGUUGAUGUGGUCUUCUUUUCCUUGAUAGCAAGAAAACCACUCACGUGGAGGACAAAAGAAAGUCAUGGUUCCCCUAUUUAAAUUAUGAGACAAAUUGACAGGUUACCAAGACAAAGGAAAGCUAAGGAAGGAAAAUGGGCACCAAACAUAAAAAAGAAAAAAGAAAAGAUGUGCAGCAAGGCAAGUCAAAAGCACCACCAAAUUCCUUUAAAAAAAAUCAAGUGAAUGUGACAUGGCUUGAAAACUUUAGUCAUGAUUAUGACUAGUCAUUCUUUUCACUUGUUGCAAUGCAAUUCCUUCAAAUUAAAUGAGAAUACUAUCCGCGUGGAACUUAGAGAAAAAGGAAGUAGCUUCUCCAUUAGUUACAACUUUGAACUACCGAUUACAAACCAUUUCAAUUGCAGUGGACACAAGCCAUCUCAAAGUACAAAAUUCGAUGGACAUAUCAUCUCAAAUUAGUGGGUUUGCACUACGUCAAAAUGGAUCAAGCUCCUUUUAAAUUCUUGAAAUAAUCAAAUGGCACGAAGCCAUAUUAAAUCUCAAACGGCACGAAGCUGAAGAAAAGUAUCAAUGGCACGAAGUCAUGACAAAUGUCAAAUAGCACAAAGCCACGUCAAGUUCCAAAUGGCACAAAGCCGAAGAAAAAGUCAAAUAUCAAAUGGCACAAAGCCGUGAUGAGUCUCAAAAAUUUAUGAACUACGCUGGUUUGAUUAUGUUAAGGAUACGUAGGCAAUCUGAUAUCUAGUGUUAAACGCAACCGUGAAACCGAAACGAAUCCCUGGUUUAUAUAAACUAAAUUCACUCCUGCUACUUCGAUCAAGUAAUUACAAACUCUACAAAGAGUAAAAGAGAAGUCUUCAAGCACAAGUUCCUAGAUUUCCCAUUAAUGGAUGUUGCCCAUGCAACUAAGUUCCUAGUUUUUGAUGUGAAAAUUAUGUUGACACACAAAUUAACCCUCUUUUUAUCAAUUGUAGUAAAGUAUGUAAGUAGGGAUCGUUCUAAACCGGGGAUUAGGAGAGAUUGCAAAAUCACUUGAAAACUGACUCGAAUACGUAAAAACAAGUUUAAAACACUAAACUAGACUCAAAGAAUGCAAAACUAAACUUUAAAACACCAAAACAAACCAAAAGACUCAAAACAGCCCAAAAACACUCAAAACUGCUUUAAAACCACAAUCUGGGCAGUUUUGAACACUAGACUCAAUCUUGGACGAAAAUUGGUUUUAUCUUGACCUAAGACACUUAAAAACACAAACUAAAGUGAUUUCUAACUACUAUGACUCAACUAAGUAAAUGGGGAUUGAUUUUGGACGAAUUUAACUUUUAAAACAAAAACUUUAAAAACAAACUUUAAUGAAAACGAUUUUGAUGAAAUAGAAUGGGGAAAGGCUAGUUAGAAGGUUCCUUCUCCACACAUGAAACAUAUGCAUACGACUCGAUCUCCAAUUACUCUUUCAACAAACCAUGAAUGACAAUGCCCCAAAUUAACUAGAUUGACCAAUUAACUCUCAGAUUUCCCUAGAUUCAUUGAAUUGAAUGGGAUACGCAUUACAACCAAAUUAUUCUUAUCAAGGACCCUAACUAUGGAAUACGCAUGAUAGAGACACAUAUCAAAGAUCAUUAAGUUCAAUGGAAAUCAUAAGCAUUGACGAGGCAUUCAUAACUAUGGGAUACGCAUGUUACUCUUGCCUAGGAUUUACUUAACACAAUCGUGACUAGCGACUUUUACUACUUAUGAAUAUAAGUUAAUAACGAUUAGGUGAAAUUCCCUUAUACUCUAGCAUCAAAUUCAUGCAUGCAAACUAAGUGUCGACCCUCAAUCAACAUACAUAAACAUGUUAUCAAUCAAAUAGAUAAGUAAACCACAUUCACGAUUCAUGAAAUCAUAAUUGGAAGAAAUCAAGUCAUAUAAAACAUAUGAUCAUGGCUUUGAAUUCCCCUCUAACUAUAAAGAAAUUAGUUCCUCAUGUUCGCAAAUACACAAAGACAAAUAAAUUUAAACAUUGAAACAAAGAUAGAAAACACCUAGAAACGCUCCGACAAUCCAACGUCUUGAAUGGCAUGCACGGCUCCAAGUUGUCUUCCUUCUUCUCCUUGCAAACUCACGGCACAAUGAGGGAUGAUUGGUGAUGGUGUAGUGAAAAUCUGGUAGAGGAUGGUGUGUGAUAUGUGCGGCAAUGGGUUGUAUAUAUAGGCUGAAAAUCCCAUCUCCUAGGUAGCAAAGGACAAGGUUUUAAAGACCUAAAUUGCAUAGGAUAAUAACAUCCAAUCCUAUAAGGAAAACAAGUCAAAAACCCAAAGGGAUUGGGUGAUAAUGUGCAGCAGAAAGAGUGUGAAAAGAUAAGACUUCUAGAAACCAAAAAUCCCAAGGGAAAUAGGUAUUAGGUGCGGCAAGGAUCUAGGGUUCUAGAAGAUAAUGCAAGGCAGAUUUUUAGGCUUCUAGAAAGGUUCCUAGGUGUCAUCUUGGUAUCAUAAGAUAAGGUCUUCUAGAAAUCCCAUUUUAAGCAUCCUAAUCUAAUUAGAAACCCUCCUAAGUGGCUGGAAUGUGGAUAGUUUAGGAUAAGGAUAAGAUAGGAUAGGAUAAGGUUUGAUUGGAUAAGAUAAGCUAAGAUAAGGUUAUGGAUGAGGUCUUGGAUAAUACUCCUUAUCUUGAGCUGAUUCUUUGGCUUUAAUUCUUCUUCUUCAUGUAGGAAACCUUGCUUGAGUAGGAAACUUCAUAUAUCUAGGAAUCCAUCUUCAAUUAGGACUCCUUUAGUGAUUAGGAAUCCUAAUUCAUUUAGGAAUCCUUCUUUCAAGUCAUUUCCUUCUUCAACUAGGAAACUUUGUAUCUUCAAUUCUUCAACUUUGAAACGCCUUCCAAGCUUCAUCAAUUCCUCAAAUUCGUCCAUCCCUUGUGCUUCAUGUGCAUGAACUCCAUUUUAGCCCAAUUUUGCUCCAAAAUGCUCCAAAUUGCAUCCUAUUGCUCACUUUGUCUCUAAAACCUGAAAACACAUGAAAAUAGCUUAAAAGACUAACUUAACUAAGAAAACACAACAUAAAUGCAUAAGAACUAACUAACUAAGGCGCAUAAAUAUGCUCCUAUCAGUUUUUCUAGGGAAUGUUGCUUCAUAUGAGAUUGAAGUAAAACAACAAACACGUGAGCUUUAUUUUUUAUUUUUGACUCCGUGAAUAAAAAAAUAGAGUCGCUCAAAAGGCACGAAGCCACAUCCAACUUCAAAUGACGUAAAGCCAAUUCAAAUUACAAAAGACACAAAGAAGCCUCGAAUGGCACAAAAACGAAGAAAAUCUCAAAUGGCAUGAGGUCGUAUAAAUAUAUGCAAGUCGGUUUGGUUAACCGCAUCCUAAGAAUUUCAAGAACCGAUUGUCAACCUGAUUAAAGUCGGUGCGAUUUGAUUUAACCACAAAAAAUUAAAAAUUAAAAAAAACUAAAAAAAAAAUUAAAAAGAAAAAGAAACAAACAAACCGCGGUGCGGUUUGGGCGAUUCACUCGGUUUUUUUUUUUUUAAUGCCCAACCCUACUACACAACAAACAAACACAAGGAAGCAACUGAAGCCGUCGAAAGCACUCGAGAGGAAAUUGAAGGUGAGCAUAUUGGGAAUACUAUCUUUAUACAAGUGUGUUGUAGGCUCCCAAUAAAUGGAUUCCAAACCAACUUAGGUAAAACUUAGAAUUACUGUUUUCCAAGAUAGAAAGGGAGAAGGGUAAAAAAGAGUAACGUAUGGAAAAAAAGAUUAGUUUCAUGUUCUUAUUACUCUCCUACUUUUAGUAGGAUUGGGAUUAGUUUCUAGGCAUCAGAAAACAAGUGUUUAAAACAUAUUUGUUCAUGCUUAAUAGUUAAUACAACAUUCAUUUUCUCUAAGAGCAGCUCCAGCCAUGCAUGUAGGCCGGGGGACAGGGGAGAGGAAAGGGCCCGAGGCCCUGUGAAUCAACUCCAGCCUUGAAGAGCCCGAGCUGGUGGAGAAGGCCCGAGCAGGAGGCCUAUCAAUUUUUGACAGCCCGUGAGCCCGAGCUCCAAACCCUUUUUAUAUUUUUUUCUGUCAGGCGAGUUCACCCCACUCGCGCGUGGGGGCGCGUCGCCCGACACCUUUUCAGAAAAUCAGUAACUUUUGCAGAUGGUCUCAGUUACCGUUGGGAAGCCACGUGGCUUCCCACGGUCCGUUCGAUCUCAACGGCUCCUUAAUUUGGAUCGUUGGAUCUCAACGGUAAAAAAAAUAAAAAAAUCUUAUUUAAUAUUAACCGUUCGAUCUGAGAUCAACGGUCGAUAUUAAUAUGCUUUAUAAAUAAAGAAAAAAUAGUUUUAAAAUUAAGAAAAGUUACCGUUAUAACACGUGGCACAAUCUGGAAUGUUGGAAUUCAAAUUUUUUAAAAUCCAACGGCAAAGAUUAAUUAUUUGAAUAAAAAAAUUUAAAAAAUUGUAAAAAAUUGUUUUUACUUUUCUCUAAAUACCACUUCUUCUCCAUCUACCUUACACCACAAUUUCAUAUUUUCUCAACUAUUUUCAAUCAAAUUCCUAUCUUUCUCUCAAAGUUUCAAUCCAAUUUUUUUCCACAAAAUGAGUAUUGAUGCAGGUAUGAAUUGGUCGCUUCUUGAAGAUGUUGCGUUGUGCACUAGCUGGGUUGAAGUUACUCAUAAUUCCCUUACGGGUAAUGAGAUGCAGUUGCGAGAAAUGUGGAGUUUAAUUCAUACCAAAUUUCUUGAGCAAAUAGGUGGGAAAAGAACUAAAGAAUCGAUGUCCAGUCGUUGGAAAAUACUUUGUCAUUCCUUUAGUACGUGGAGAGAUGCCUUGACACAAGUUAGUAGUAAUGUUCGAAGUGGGGCAAAUUAUGCGGAUGAGGUAAGAAUAUAUUAUAAUUAUUUGUUUGUAUUAUUAUUUUGUUACCUAAUUUUAUUAUAAUUAUUCGUUUCUAUUAUUUAUUUGUUACCUAAUUUCAUUAUUAUUAUUUGUUUGUAUUAUUUAUUUGUGACCUAAUUUCAUUAUUAUUAUUUUGUUGUAUUAUUUAUUUGUUACCUAAUAAUUUCAUUAGUAUUUUUUUGUUUGUAUUAUUUUAUUUGUUACCUAAUAAUAAUUUCAUUAUUAUAUUUUGUUUGUAUUAUUUAUAUUGUUACUAAUAUAAUUCAUUUAUUAUUUGUUGUAUUAUUUAUUUGUUAAUAAUUUCAUUAUUAUUAUUUAUUUGUUUGUAUUAUUUAUUUGUUACCUAAUAAUUUCAUUAUUAUUAUUUGUUUGUAUUAUUUAUUUGUUAUCUAAUAAUUUCAUUAUUAUUCAUUUGUAGCAACUUCAAGCACAAGCAUGGUAUGCUGCCAAAAUCAAAUCAAGAAACAAAUCAUUCCACCGGUGGGAAUGUUGGAAUAUUGUUAAAGAUUGUUCUAAAUUUAAAGUUGUGUCUGUUGGUCCAGAAGUAUGCAUGAACAGCACCCCUCUACACAGCACCUUUGUACACAGCACCCAUCCACACUCUACACCUAAUCAUGGCUCCCAUGUUGACGAAGAAGAUGGAGAAGAAGUGCCUGAAACGCCAAAUCCUGAACAAGCGUCGGGGUCGACCCAUUAUCCAAUUAGGCCUCUAGGUAAGAAGGCUUCAAAGAGAAAAGGGAGUGCUUCCAAGAAUGAUUAUGGAAAGUACAUGCAAGAACUUGCUCGUCAAGGUGAAUUGACGUUGGCACGGGAAUUGGCGAAAUAUGAGGCUGAAAAGGCUAGAGAUGAGGCAAAAGCUGCAACUAUUCAACAAGCAUUUCAAGCUGAACAGAGGGAAAGAGAACUACUUAGGCAAGAAAGGGAGUUGCUUAGAGAAGAAAGAAUUGCACAACGAGAUCGUGACAUUAUGAACACGCAUUUAGAAAGGAUGUCUCCAAAUUCUAAAUAUUUUUUGCAAUCGGAGAAAGCGGAUGUGGUGUAAAGGAGGCGUGCAAGAGAAGCGAGAUCAAGACAAGAUGGUCCUAGCACAACAAGACAAGAUGAUCCUAGCACCACAGAUUGGCUAAGUGAUGAUGAAUAGGGUACUUUUUGUAAUCGGAGCCCAUAGUUUUCCAAUCACUUUGGGUUGUAAUUUAUUAUUUAUGUUGUUUCCAAUUUAUUGAAGUUAGUACUUUAUUUAAAGUGAGAGUACAUUUAUUUAAUUUCGUAAUAUAUUUAUCCUAAUAAUAGAAUAUUUAUUCAUCAAAUUGUUCACGUAUAAUGAAAUUAUAAAACACACCAAAUAAAACUAAAAAACUCACCAAUUGGAAUUACAUAAACACACCAAAUAAAAUUAUAUAAACAUAUGAAAUAAAAAAAAACUCACUACAAAAAACACACCAAAUAAAAUUACAUAAUCAUACGAAAUAAUAAAAAACUCACUACAAAAAACACACCAAAUAAAAUUACAUAAACACACCAAAUACAAACAAACAUACUAAAUAAACUUAAGUAUCUUCAGCUUGUUUCAAUGCCCAUUGGUGCUCUAUCAAGUCAAUUUACCGAUCAUUGUGCAUAGAUGACCUUUGAAGUGCAGUAUAUCGUUGAAUGACCCUUUCAUUGUAACGUCCAUCCCUUUCUAAUGGCUCAUGUUGCACAGGUUCUUCAGUGGCAUCAUGCGCACAAUAUAUUCGUGUUCUUGAAUUGUUCAUCGUGUCUGGCUUUGGCUCAUAUUCAUCAACCGCAUCAUAAUCGAACUCAUCUUCGACAAUCAUGUUGUGAAGAAUGACGCACGUCAUCAUGAUGGAUCGAAGUGACUCUACAUCGAACAUUCUGGCAGCACCCCUGACGAUCGCCCAACGAGCUUGAAGGAUACCAAAACAACGCUCCACAUCCUUCCUGCACCCCUCUUGACAGCUUGCAAAGUGUUUUUCCUUUACACUUCGCGGACAUGGCAUUGUUUUGACAAAUGUUUCCCACCGUGGGUAAAGGUCGUCAGCUAGGUAGUAUGGCCUGUCGUACCUAUGUCCGUUGACGACGUACGUGACUUUUGGUGCCUUUCCUUGCAGGACGUCGUUGAACACUGGGGAUUGGGCAAGGACGUUGAGAUCAUUUUGAGCCCCCGGAACCCCGAAAAAGGCAUGCCAUAUCCAUGUAUCAAAAGAUGCCACUACCUCCAAAAUGAUAGAUUUUGCUCCUUUUCUGUCUCUCUAUGCGCCUUGCCAUGCACUUGGACAGUUUUUCCACGUCCAGUGCAUACAAUCGAUGCUUCCUAUCAUCCCAGGAAAACCUCUCAUCUCGCCCUUCUUCAGAAGCCUUUGUAAGUCCAUGCGAGUAGGUUUUCGGAGGUACUCUGCGGUGUACAAAGAUUCAACUGCUCCGCAAAGCCUCAUCAGGGCCUCAAGAAUGGUUGAUUUCCCCAUCCUCGUUAUCUCAUCCAUUUGGUCUGCAGAUGCUUCAUACACAAGCAUCCGCAACGCAGCAGUGAUUUUUUGCUGAGGCAGGAAACCCAUAACACCACAAGCAUCCUUCUUUUGCACAAAGUAAGAAUCAUGGUUGCAAACAUCAGUCAUGAUUCUAUUGAACAAAUAUCGUUCCAUUCUAAAACGGCGUCUGAAGUACGUAUCAGGAAAUGCACUGUUAUGGACAAAGUAAUCGUCCAACAGCUCUUCUCCCCGUCGUUGCCUGCUUUUAUCAAGGUUUCUUGAACGGUUGGGCCUGCAUAUCUGAGCAAUAGUCUGGAUGACUCGACGGGAAUGUGAGGCUCUGGCCAUUCUUGUUUCGUCAUCUCUCUUUCUACUCUCCUCAUCCUCUUCCAUCUCAUUUUCGGCUAUCUGAAGGUUGAACAUUCCUUUAAAUUGGUUAAACAAUUCUUCCUCUUGUUGAUCGAUUUCCCACAUCAUCCUUGAUGAAGAAGAAGACAUUGUAAGGAUGGAUGGUGAAGAAGAAGCAAAAACUAUGAAUAAUGAGAUAGAGAUGUUGAGAAAAUUGGUGUGAGAUUUGUGAGGAUGGAUGGUGGAUUAUAUGGACGAUUCAGAAAGGAUCGGAUUGUAGAUGAGGCCACGUGGCAUGCCGUCAUUAGUUAAAAAUCUGAUUGAAAUCUAUCGUCAAAGAUUCUGAAAAGAUAAUGACACUUGGCACGAUUGUAUUAGAUAAAAAUCUUAUCGAAAUCGAUCUCCAAUAAUUAUCUUUUCGAAUAAUGACACGUGGGGCAAUUUUGAACGAGUUAAAAUCUGAUCGAAAUUUAUCGUCAAAGAUUCUCAAAAGAUAAUGACACGUGGCACGAUGACAUUGGAUAAAAAUCUUAUCGAACUCCAUCGCUAAAUAAUUGUUUUUUUUAUAAAAUGACACGUGGCGCAACGAGAAUGAUUUAAAAAAUCUUAUCCGAAAUUACAAAUAAUUUUAUUUUGUAUUAUUUAAACAAACAAAAAAACUAAUAUUUUAUUGUCUAUUGCCAGGGGGAGGGCUCCAAGGGUGGAGAUGCAAAAGGCAAUUACUGUUCAUUAAUGGCAGUUACUAUUCAUUAAAGGUAGUUACUGUUCAAUAGGGUGGAUUCAAUAGUGGAUUGCCAGGGAGGAGGGCUCCAUGGGUGGAGUUGCUCUAAGCUAUAUGAAAGUAUGUUAGAGCAUCUCCAAGGAAGAUGUUAAAUCCUAAGUGAAGAUAUUAUUGUGCAUAUUUGACAACUACAAUUCAAAUGAGUUGUUAAAUCCUAAGUGGAGAUACUAAUGUACAUAUUUGACAUAAAAAAUCAUUUCAAACAAAGUAUUAUUUAUUGACUGAAUUUGAAGCCUUUGAGCCAAAUUCAACAUCAACUUCAUAUUUAUUUUUAUUAGUUUAAUAGUGGCUCCCUUAUUCCUUUAACAUUUCAACCAAGAAAAAUUUUGUUUUAACUAAUUUUUAAUAAAAGUAAUGUUAAGGAGAUUAAAUUUGUAAACAAAAUUUGAAAAUUAAAAGACAUGAAAGUUAAUGAUUGGUUUAUUACUUAAAUGUUGAUAAACGUAUUCAUUCAUACUGGUGACAUAUGAUUUAGUUUGCAAAUUUAGUCUUCCUAGCAUUAUAUAACCAUUUAAAUUUCUACAUUAAUAAGAAAAUAAUAUUUGACAAUUUGUUUGAAAAACACACAAUUUGACAUAAAACUUCAGAUUGCCAUAUUAACCAUGAAUUAGAAUUUGACCGUUAUAAUUUCACAUUUCCAUUGAAGAUAUCUUAGUGCCACACAUUUAAGUUUAACAAUGUAAGAGCAGUACAUGCCACCUAGUAUUACGGUCUAGUAGUAUUCAUCUUCACUUGUGAGAGAUCUGAGGUUGUUUUCUUGUCAAAGACGAAUAUCCAAAACUCAAAAGAAAAACCAGAAUCUGAAGGGAAGAAAUCUACAACGCAUGUCUUUUCCAUCAUUUUAACAGAAGGUGGUACAGAGAGUCGAACAAAGAUGAGACAAAGGGGAAGUAGCUGUCCCCAUAUGCUCGUUAUUUCCACACAACCUGAGAUACAUUAAUCAUCAAACUACCUACUAAUUAUUUGUAAAGAUAGCCAGUUUCACUCAUAUAAAACCAUCAACACGCUUCCAAAUCUCAGACAAACUGGUUGAGGUACUCGUCGACUGUGGUGUAUUUGACAUCAGGGUAAAGAGCUGUGGCUUCCACGCCAAAUGAAGGCUCGAUCUCAAAGUUAGUGUGGUCUCCCUUCACAAAAACUGAGUGACCAAUUGCUAAUAUCACAUUGAGCGGCACAGAUGCCUCUGCAAAAACGACACAAAAAUAAACCAACCAAUUUUAAAUUUAUCUCGAAAUGUUUGAAAUAAGCAAGAAAAUUCAAAUCAGUUGUUCUCGGAAUAACAUUAUUUGCCACUAACCUUGGAUGUUCUUGAGCAGUUGCUCCUCCGGGACAUAGAUUCUCUCGAGGGAUUUGCCAAUCUUCUUCUCCCAAAGAGAGACAAGCUCAUUGAAUGAAAUGGUGUUGGCAGGGGGCCUGAUGUAGAGGACUUUGUUCAAGGUUCUUGGAUCAUCCACUGCCCUAAUUGUGUACGUCCCAAUGUCGUCUUCCUUGAUGAAAAUUGCUGCAAAUCAAACAAAUUGAAAACCCCUUUACAUUUUCGAAAACGCAAAAGUGGGCUUUAUGCAGCAACUCGUAUGCAUAACAAUUACUCAUCGGUUGCUGCAAAUCAAACAAAUUGAAAACCACUUUACAUUUUCCAAAAUGCAAAUGUGGCCUUUAUGCAGCAACUCAUUUUUUUUUUCCUUGGACAAAGUAAUACUUUAAAUACUACUCUACGCAGAGGAAAAAUCAGAUUUGGAUGCAAAAAAAGGCAUGCACAGGUCAAAUUUAUGUGCAACAAGGCCGUGGCCUAACACACAUGCAUAACGAUUACUCAUCGGUUGUUGAAUAAUUUACCAAAAGCCAAAGUGGGUUUUGUGCAGUAAAUUGAAAUAGAAUGAAACCCCAGAAAAUACAUCUAUUCAGAACCCAUGGUUAAGUAGUUUUAGGUUUUACCUUUAGGGUUUCCAUCGCCCAAAAUGACGACUUUGUCCCUAGGAGGAGAAGAAGCUCCGGGCUGGUUCAAAGUAGGCAAGAAGUAACCAGCAAAGAAGUUGGAGGACACAUAGGUGUAAGGAAUUCCCUCAGCCUCCACAGCUCUGCGAAUCUUGGCCUUGGUCUCAAACGCCGAUUUGGCAGGCUCAACAGCGUGAACUCGAUCGACGUCAUUUCCAAACUCCGACGGGAAAAAUCUCUGCAACCCAAUUCAUACAUUCACAAUCGCAAUUUUACAGAAUAAAAAUAGGUGUGUGCUAUCACACACCCCUUUUUAUUUCUCACGUAUCUUUGUUAAUUUACGUGAUAUUCUUCGAUUUAUCUGAUCUGACGGUUGAGAUCGGCUGAAAACUAAAAGGACGUGGAAGAAGUAAAAGGGAUGAGUGGAUAUCACAC
RNAcentral lists this long non-coding RNA (47147 nucleotides) under Malus domestica (apple). Its description in RNAcentral is "long non-coding RNA (MDOM_LNC009145)". Lineage: Eukaryota; Viridiplantae; Streptophyta; Magnoliopsida; Rosales; Rosaceae. The record is from RNAcentral.